AUGCCGAAACCUAUCAAAUCAAGUCUGAUUGACCUCAAAGUAUGCACACAAGUCAUAAUUGUUAUUACGGACCUAAUCCAACUUCCGAAAUCGGAAUCCGACCCCGAUAUCAAAAGUCCACCCCCAGUCAAACUUUUCGAAAAUCAUCCAAUUUUCCAACGUUCGCCAAUUGAAGGUAAAAUGACCUACGGACCUCCAAUUCAACAUCCGAACAUGCACCUAAUAAUGAAAUCACUCUACGGAGCUAUUGGAACCGUCAAAAUUUCAUUCUGGAGUCGCCUUCACAUAAUUUGAACUAUGGUCAAUUCCUAUGACUUAAACUACCAUUUUAAGGAGUACGUGCCCCAUUUCACUCCGAAACCAAAAUAAAUCCUCCCAAAAAGUCACGUAACCACAAAAUAAAAUAAAGGGAGCAAUAAAUAGGGGUUCGGGGCUAACACUCUCAAAACGACCGUCUGGGUCAUUACAAGGUUAAAGAAUAAGUGAAUGCUUGAGAAUUGAUAUAAUUCCAAGUAAUGAGUGCCUCAACUUUGAAGGUGAAGAAGGGGAAAAGGAUACACGGUGUAUGGGAUUUCAUGAACUUAUUGUAUGCAUUCCAUAAUUCAAACGUAGUCUAUCCUCUAUAAAUAUAAAAGAUGUUGAGUGUUUAAUAUAUCAUCCGCUCAAGCAAUCAGGGAGUCAAUAGGUAUGGUAAGAUGCAAUGGUCGAGAUCUCAAUUCCUUCGUUUGAUUGUUACUAAGCUAUCCUUGUAAUAAUGAACCGAACAACCAACCUUGUCAUCUCUCCUUAGGCCUGGAUGAAGAAAUUCAAGGCGCCUUGUCUCCUGGGUUGUAACAUCACAGGAGACCAGGCGGCAACGAUUACUAACAAAAAUGACUGUGUUAGGAUUCCAAGAAAAAAAAUACAGAAAAUAUGCAAAGCACUGAAAUGUAAUUAGUUUGUUCUGAACCCCUGGUUGGAUCAUUACCUAUAUGUCAUAUUCAAAUCUAUCAUAAACAACUACGUUCAAGAGGGCAAUGGAGUCAUCAACCAAUAUCAGUUUCAACAUCCAAUGAUUGAAAGGGCGCGGAGCAUCUGGCCCUUCAAUCUCUGUAAACACCUCAUUUUCAAAGUCAAAGGAAAGAAUGCUACAGUUACAUAUUUCCCCCUUCAGCAGCCUGUAAUAAGCACCAUUCAGAUAAGCAGUACCAAGGGUUUUUAUACAGUAUUUAAAUAGGAAGAUGUCUUGAUGUUCAGGUUGAAGGAUUCUCCAUGAGUCCUUAGAACAUGAAUAAACGGCUGCAUAAGGUUGAUAGACCUUACAAUUUCUGAUGUUUUCAUAGAAGGUCCAAAAUGAAACCACCUUAUAGUCAUUAGUCAUGAGGUCUAAUACGAACCCAAACUGACGUCGGUGUUCCCUGAAGGAUGGAGCAAGACCGAAGUUGGGUGAAUGAAGGGAUUCUACAAAGCCAAGAAGAUGUUGAAUAUGUUGCCAUCAAUUACUCGCUCCAAUAAAAAUAAGGCAUCCACAGAACCUAAAAGGUACAUCAUACCUCUGAAUUCCUGAAUAUAAUCAGGAUUUUUAUGUACGGCAGCAGCAUCUGAGACUGAAACCAAAGUGAUGGGAUUGGGAUUGAGAGGAGAAUCAUCAUUUGAGGGGCAUCCAACAUAAUCAUAAAUCAUGAUUUUGGGGGGCCUGUUCUUUCUGCUCCAAUUCAUGUGUUCUUUGAUGAAGCUAGGGCUCGUAAUUGUUUCGUACCAGUUCUUGCCGACGCAUUUGAAUUGCAACAAGGACUCGACCGGCAACCUGAGUAGAAUCUCCAUUGCUAGAUCUUCAGGGAAAGGCCGACAACCAUUAUCACUGGUGGCCAUAUUAGAACAGAAAACAGAGAGAGAAAAAAGAUGAUAAAAUACUUAAUUGUGAAGAAAAGAAGUGAUGGAGAAAGGCAAUUCGGUAGAAUGAAUUGAUUGAGUGAAUUACUAGGCACUUUGUCACGACCCUAAUUUCCCCCCGUAGGAUGUCGUGACGGCACCUAGUCUCUUAUACAAAUUACAAUUCUCAAAACCAGUAGUACAAGUCAUAAGCUCUACUAAGUUUGCUAGAAAAUCCCUAAAUACAACUGUCCGGAUGGAUUUAAACAGUAUAAUAAAAAUAUCAGAAGGUGACUCCGAGGCCUGAUUACCUUGAGUCUCCACAGCUCGACCAACCAACUAAUAAUCAACAACAACCGAGGAAUCUGGAUCUGCACAAAAAUAUGCAGAAGUGUAGUAUGAGUACACCACAGCGGUAUCCAGUAAGUAUCAAGACUAACCCCGGUUGAGUAGUGACGAGGGACAGUCAAGACGCCCACCGGACUAAACAACCUGAACAAGUGUGUAGAUGAACUAAUAGAGAAACAAUAUUAAUAUACAGCUAAGCAGGAUAAGGAAUGCAAGACAAUACUUGCAAUGAUACACUAGUAACAACAAUAUUCAACAGGAAGCAGUCAGGUAAUAAUGCUCUAGAGUAACUAAUCACAGUCUAAGUCUGGGGAAACCAAAUAAAGGAAAACCAGCAACAACUCAAUAAGAACAACUGCUUUCACACCAGAUCUGUUCAAGCAUUUCCACGAGGUACCGAACCUCAUAAUCACAGCUCACGGGCCUUAAUUCAUGAACCCUAAUGACUUGGCAUCUUGUGCCUACAUUACAACUCAUAACCGCACGGACGACUCACGUGCCAAUGAACAAUCCUCACACAUAAGGCAAGAAGACAAGAGUACGUAUAAUGGUUAUGUCGUCGGGAUUCAGCUUUUAAAACUUGAAUGGGUGAUUUAACUACGUGUAUGCUUGUGAAGGUGUUCUACCAUAAUUCCAGUCAACAAAUAAGAGUAGAGUCAAUGAAUGGCACAUAAGCAACGAUCACUGCGAAAUGUACGGUGUAACAGAAGCAGCAAUGAAGUUCGAAGCAGCGACUAGUACAACAAGAUUAGCUACACAGAGCUGAGAAAUAGUGCAACACGGAGGAAAAUAAUUAAUAGUAUGCUAAGGAAAAUAACUAUCAAAGACAAGUGCACCGAAAAGGGGAAAUGACAACAAGAGCACUCCCGAGGUACCGCCUCGUAGUCUCAAAUCAUAAAAUGAAUCACAACUUUCCUUAUAUCACCGCUGGAGCCUUUAUAUUUAGUUUUUGAAAAUUAUUUUUCCAAAAUAGCAUCCCGCAUUUUAGCCCAUCUUAUCACACCGCAUGGCUUUUAGUAGUUCCCCUACUAUCCACGCGUUUCAAGCCCACCUUAUCUCAACGCAUGCGUUUCAACACCCAGACCUUAUACCACCGCAUGCGUAUCAAUAACAACAACGGCACAACAAAAAACUCGUGCAACACAAUAACAACCGCACGGCAGAAACCUCGUGCAAUAAAAUAAUAACUGCACGGCAAAAACUUCGUGCAACACAAUAACAAUUUUCUCAACAAAACAUGUAUGCCAAAAACAUAAUAACUCAAAAUGACCUUCACAAUAUGUGCCCACAUGCCACAAUAUUACUUCAAAAUAGUUUCAAUAUCACAACCACGUAUAGCCCUUGGCUCAACAACACUGAAUACAAUAGCAAAAAUAACAAUAACAUGAGAAUACAACAAUUAAAUCAACACAAGAACUUCAAAACACAAAGAAAUGGAAGAACGAACUCACAGAGAAAUACACAACAUGGAAAUAAUAGUCUCAACAAGAAUAGUUCAACAAGGGAGAGGUAAUGCGUAACAAUGAUUCCACAAAAGUGCAAUUCGACAACAAGAGAGAUAGCAUGAAUCAAUGACCCCAAAUAAGAAUACGUUAACAAUGAAAGGGGUAACAAACUUCCAUUAAGGCUAUGCAAUUAUGGGAGAGAUAAUAAUAAUUACAAUUAAAGUUUAAGCAAUUAUGGAAAUAUAACAAUGAUUUCAAUUAAGGUUAAGCAAUUACGGAAAGAUAGCAGGACGAUAAAAAAGGCAACAACUUCAGUUAAGGUGCAUAAGAGUUUAAUCGGCAAUAAGGGUAGAACAUGAAGCAAUUAAUUCCAAUUAAGACACCUAAGGGUGAAUUUAGUAAAUGAAGAAUUUAACAUGGACAAAACAACUUCAUAUUUAAUGGAUAUAAGAACCUAAGAGCACUAGACGGUCAAAUUUUUACAAAUAAUUCCGAGCACGUACUCGUCACCUCGCGUACUCGGCCUUCACAUGACACAAUUAGCACAAAAGACUUGAAUCCUAAGGGGUAGUUCCCUCACACAAAGUUAGGCAAGAUACUUAUAUCAAAGAAGUUAGACCGUUACUCUAAAAUGACCUUCUCGAGUGAAACACCCUCUUGGCGGCUCAAAUCUAACCAAAAUAACUUCAAUUCAUAAAUAAAAUAAUUCAGGAUAACAAAGCUUCAAUCUUUAACAAGAACUAAAAGUCAACCCGAAAGUCAAACCCCGGGCCCGCACCUCGCAACCUGACUAAAAUUAUAAAAUUCAAACACUCAUUCGAUAACGAGUCCAACCAUACAAGAAUUACCAAAUUCCGAUAUCAAUUCGUCAUUCAAAUCAUCAUUUUACAUUUUGAAAGAUUUCUAUAAAUUUACCCCAAAUUACCAACUUAAUUCACUAAUUAAAUGAUAAAAAUAGCAAUGGAUUCAUGAAACAUAACAAGAUUCAGGUAGAGAACACUUACCCCAAUGAGUUUCUUGAAAAAUCCAUGAAAAAUCUCCCAAAACUGAGGUCUACAACACAAAAUAUGAAAAAAUGGCCAAACCCUCGACUUAUAUGAUUCUGCCCAGAACUUCCGCAUUUGCGGACAAGGACGCGCAUCUGCGCCUCUCGCAUUUGCGAGUAAAACUCCGCAUUUGCGGUUCACACUGCAUGGACCAAAAUGUGCACCUGCGCAAAAUAGGGUAGCACCUACGCCUUCACAGAAGCGCCCAAACAACCGCAAAAGCGGCCUCCCUCGCACAUGCGAUCCAUAACACGCAGAUGCGAUGAUCACACCUGCAAUCCCUCAACGCAGAAGUGGAACUCCUGCCCAGGAUCCAUCAUAGCAGAAGCGACACACAGCACGCGGAAGCGACCCCGCCCCUGCACUCCAAAAUGCGCAGGUGCGACGCACAAGAAGCAGACCUGAUCACAAGCAUGAAAAUUAUCUCAAACUCGUUCGAAACACACCCAGGGCCCCGGGGGCCCGUCCAAACAUACCAACAAGUUUCAUAACACAACGUGGACCUACUUGCUGGUUCAAAUCACAUCAAACAACAUCGAAACUACGAAUCGCACCACGAAUCGAACUUAUGAACUUUCAAAUCUUCCAACUUCCAAAACUCGUGCUGAAACAUGUCAAAUCAACCCGGAUUGACGUCAAAUUUUGCAUGCAAGUCCCAAAUGACAUAACGGAGCUAAUCCAACACUCGAAAUUGAAAUCCGACCCCGAUAUCACCAAAGUCAACUCUCGGUCAAACCUCUUAACCUUCCAAAACUUUAACUUUUCCAACUUUCGCUAAAAUGUAUCAAAUUACCCUACGGACCUCCAAAUCCAAAUCCGGACGCACACCUAAGUCCAAAAUCAUCAUACGGAACUAUUGAAAUCAUAAAAAUGCCAUUUCGGAGUCGUCUACACAAAAGUCAAAUUCCGGUCAACUCUUUUCAUUUAGGCUUUAAAAAUAAGAAUUGUCCUUUCAAUUAAAUCCCGAAUCAUUUGAAAACCAAUCUCGACCACACACGCAAGUCAUAAUACACAUUACGAAACUUUUUGAGACCUUAAGCCGCUGAACGGGGCGCUAAUUCCCAAAACAGCCGAUCGGAUCGUUACACACUUCCUCUUUAAUACAUUCCCUAAUUUUUUAGACUUCAAUUUUUUUGCUAUAAUUAUUACUACUACAGUAAUCUGAUUACCUUAUAAGUAAUUGAAUUACUAUUUUACUACCAUUAAGUUCUACACUUAUUUCUAAUUCUAUUUAUUGUUCUGCCUUUCCUCUAUUAUUUCAAUUUAUAAUAUAAUCUCAUUUAGAUAAAAUUCUAAUAUUUAGUUCAAAUACCAUAGUACAGUAUUCAUUAUUUCCUUCAUUAGUUCUAUCGAUUUCAUAAUACACAAAACUUAUUGCAGAUGGCACAUUAUCUGAACACCAGGCCAGCAGUUGAAGUCCGCCUAGUGCAGGUAUAUUGGUUGAACUGUCCCGUUUCUAAAAGAAUUCAGUGGUGCCUUUGUCUUGGGUACAAAUACAGUACUUUUGUUAUAAAAUUUAUACCAUUACUAGUCAAUACCAAUAAUGAAAUAGUGGAAAAAGAUAACCCUAAUUUAUUACCAGAACUAAAACCUUACUCCCUGUAACAAAACGGCUCAUCGGUGUUUUGUUGUGUGGUUCAAUGCAAUGUGCUAUUAGGCGCGCACAUUAUAUUUCUUUGUCACUCACCCCUCUCAUCACCCUGUAAAAUGUUAUGUAAACAAGUAUCUGAGAUUUCGCGCAACUUAAGACUCCUAAUUAAAUAAAGUAUAACGCUUUUUUUUUAAUAUAAAAAGAGUAUAAUUCUAUUCAUGGUUAACAAUGCAUUUUAUCUAGCACGUAAUCGAGCCACCAAUCUUUAUCCAAACCAGAUCGUGGUUACCAAUUUCAACCUUCAACACUAGCAACAUCAUCAGAGCAAGGCUGGGCAGAGUCAACGUAAGGAUGAAAUAACAGAUCCAAAAGAUAUAAAAUUGCCAGAAAUAGAACACUUAGAUUGAAUAUUGUGAUUGCGAGAAUAAGUGAAUAAUUGCCGGAUGGGAAUACAACGUAAGGAAUAGGGGUUUAAAUAGUAAUCAUAUUCGUAACUGAUUGCCUUGUACAUCUCUUGCCCGUUACUAUCAUUUAUUGUAUUUUUUGUGUGAUUGAUUGGUAACUGAUAUCAUAAUAAUGGCAAAUUCGGUAUAAUCCGGGAUUUGUUGGUUCUAUCCUUAUUCGUAACUAUAAGCGAUCGUGUAUACCAGACCCGGAGCUAUUCUCUUUUAAUCAGUUCCAGGACUAAUGGCUACAAUACUAAUUUGUUUAGCUUCGAAUGUAUUUUACACACCAUUGCUCACUUUCUUUGAUGAUACAUGUUGCAGUUUAAUUCAUCUGCAUGGCGAGUUUAUUUUUUACUAAUACAAAGAGAGAAAAAGAGAGCUGUUGAGAUGGAAAAAUGUUUAGCUAAGUGUACUAGCAAGGAAUGUUUCAUUUAUUUUACUGAUGAACUGAAGACAAAACUUCAAAAUUCUGGCACGUGCACCAUGAAUGUACGUGCAAAAUUUUCUAGCAAUGUUUCUUUCCGCUAAAUAAUGAAAUUGCUUACCAAGGAACUAACAGGAGAUAAAUGUUGCAGAUCAUUUAGUGUUUCCCUUUGCACUUUUAUGUAAUAGAAAUCAUAUGGCUCAAAGUUUAUGGUUCUACUUCUGCCUAUUGAAAGUGCAACUUCAGACAGCAGCUUCUGCACCUUUACUGUUCGUGGGAACUAAUGUUUUACCUUUUUAUUCUAUAGAAUAGAAGUGGUGGUUAGCCGCACGGGCCAACCCAACUCUAAAAAUAAAUAUUGAAGGUUAAGUAGAUGCAUGUCUAUUAGCGAUCAGUUAAAAUUUUCUGUAUUUACUUAAUGGGAAAUUGAAGUUUGACACACAGCAUACUCAUUUGUCAAUGGCCUCCAUUAUACAACUCUUUUGAUAAAUCCCAGAUAAUAAAGGAAUUAAUUUCAAUAGCUUAAAAAGUCUCAUAAAUAUGUUAUAGCUCUCCGGAGCUGCGAAAGAAAUUAUUAAAUGCUUCUUUGCGACUUUAGGGUGAAAAAUGUAAUGUUAGUUGUUGCAGAAUAUAAAAGUGAAUACGAGAAAAGGUCCAGAAUAUAAUACUCCAUUGAUUUUAAUAUGUUAACAACCUUCUGAGGUCUAAUAGAUAAACAGUCAUAAAAGCUCUCCAAUCUUUAUCAUUUCAUUUUCAGUUUCUAGCAAGUGACUUAGAGCAAUGAGCUGCAGCUGAAAUUACAUGGCAUUGAAUUAGUUUGAGUUGUCUUGUUUCCUCAAACUGAUAUCUUUCAGUUGCAUAAAUUCUCUUGUACUAACUCUUGCCAUAUGUAAAAACCCGGCAGGACAUAAACAGAAUUUAGAUAUCUAAAAGCACGUAUAGAAUGUUGUAACAAGUCUUUAAUGGAUAAAAGGAAGUGAUAGAAAGGCAACAGUACCAGUAGGAACCAUAUGAAACCUAACAUAAAUGAAAUGUGAAUGCUGGGGAAGAAAUGCAUUUACUCUAGGUCGUAUCUUAAUCUAGCAAUCAACAUAGACACCUAUAAUCGACCUGCUUCCACAUUACAUACGUAUUUAGCUAAAUAUCAACUACUUUAUACCAUCUUAACGAAAUAAAACACAGGUUUGGCCUAAGGGAUUGCUAAACAGGGUCGCCCAGUUGUUUAUCAAAUUGUGCUGCGAAGAAGAACAACUAUUAGCUUAUACUAAUUUUUAUCUACGCUUGUGUAAAUAAUGCAACUUCCUUUUAUUUCAAAGAUUUCUUUAUUCAAGUUGCAAACUAAAUGACAAGCAAAAAUAGCUCAUCAGACAUAUCCCUCAAGAACAAUAACAACAACAACAACAACAACAACAACAACAACAACAAAAAAUAACCCAGUGAAAUUCUACUAAUGGAGUCUGGGAGAAUAGUGUGUACGCAGACCUUACCCCUGUCCGUCAAUAACAAUAUGAAGAAGAUAUAUAUUGUGGGAAUGUCGUUCAAAAAUUUCAUGCCUCUCUACCCUGCCCGACACCAAUAAUAAUAAUAUUGGAAAUAAGUAAAGAUUGUAAUUUUCAAACAAGAAAAUAGUAAUUGAAAGUAGGGAUGGCAAUGGGGCGGUGCGGGUGCGGGGCGGAGCGGAUUUCAACCUAUGCAAUGCAGUGCGGGUUUGGGCUUCGCGGCUGCGGGGCGGGUUUAUUUUUUUAAGAAAAUAUCUUUGCGGGUUGCAGGGCGGGUGCGGGUCUUUUUUUAAGAAAAAGUCACAUUCGGGCCGAAAACUAACCACGGUCGCUAAGAAGGUGUAAUGAAACAUAUUAGUGACUUAAUGUAGUGCUUAAUUGCACUUGCACCUUCAAUGUCGUUGGAAAAUGAGGUAUUUUGUUGGAAAAAAGCAAAACACAAAUAGGUAGUCUAUAUUUAUUAUCGGUUUAAAUUUUGAACUACCAAAAUGGUUGAACACUAAUCUGGGAUGGGCAAGAUGUUACUAACUUCAAAAAAAUUCUUUGUUUUAAAAAAUCAAAUACACCAGCUAUAUCAUGGAAAUUCUUCACGAAUAUAAUUGUGUUAUUCCUAUCGUUUUUUAAUAAAUCACUUAAAACACUAAUGUAGUGCAAAUCUUAAAUUAAAAAAUAUUUAUCUUACUAAAUAGAUUUAUAGUAUUAAAAGUAGAACAGUAAAAAAUAUAACUAAAUAAAAAUAAAAAUGUUUUAUAUGUUAAAUCUUUUUUUAAAAGGGUACAGUACCUUAAGAGUUCAAAAGCAAGAAAGCUAUUACUAGUAUUAAAUCACAUGUCUUAUUCAGUAAUUUCUUGUCAUUUUCUGUUUAAAAGUUUUGAUUGAUUAAAUACUUUGUUGACUAUUCAAUAAGUUUUGGCUCAAUAAUUUUUUUAAAGGGCACAGUAGCUUAAGAGCAACAAAAGAGAUUUCAAUAUUUUGGUUGAUUAAAUCAGAAAGUCCAACUAAAAUACCAAAAGAAAUAAAAUUGAAAAAAAUAAAAGAAAACAAAUAUGUGGGGCGGGUGGAUGCGGGUGUGAGUGUGGGGCGGGUGCAAAUGCUAUACGGGGCGGGGCGGGGCGGAUUUAAAUCUUCGUGGGUUUAUGCGGGUUCGCCCCGCAACCGCACCGCACCGCACCGUUUGCCAUCUCUAAUUGAAAGUUACAAUUGAAAUAACGUGACCCACUAAUAACAAUAAUAAGAUAAGAAAUAGCAUUACCAUGAAUAACCUGCUCCCUAACCACUUGGAAUAGUACUCACUUGCAUGUCUUAAAAUUAUUUAUAAAUAGCAGAAGAUGAUCGAUCAUCCACCACACUAGCUUAUCAUCAUUCACCACAAAUUACCCAAUCCUUUCCUAUACACUUGCUACAGUAGUGUUUAGCUUUGGAGUUGAUAGUAAUUUUUUUUGCUAAUGAUGGUUCUUUGCACCGUUGAAUUACUACUGGUCAGGAUCAAUAUCAAGUUAUGAUGGCUGUACUCCAGUGGCCUCCCACCUUUUCUACAUCCACGACCUUUGGCCUGCGACUGCUAGAGGAGUAAGCUUAACCUGUCAAUGAUGUUUGCCUCCAAUUUUCUAGUCUUUAAGAUCAUAAGCUAGCCCAACCUUCUAGACUUUGUGUUCUUCAGUUGGAGGUGAACGACAUUGACAGGUUAAUCUUACUCCUCUAGCAGUCGCAUGCCAAAAGACCGUGGAUGUGGAACAACUCCUUAGUACGUUGUUGUGAUGACCCAAUAGGUCAUUUAUAGCUUUAACUCUUAAUUCUGUGUUUCGAAGCCCCGAAUAGCUCCGUUUAACUUUUCUCGAUUUACGUGCAUAGUCCGUAUCUUUUUUCGAAAGGUUUCUAUGUGAAAAAUUAAUUAAAAUGUGAAAUCGUGCUUUAAAACUUAUUUGAGUUGACUUCGGUUAAUAUUUUGAGAAAACGGGCCUGGAUCAGUAUUUUGACGGUCUAGGUGGGUCCGUAUCGUGAUUUAGGACUUGGGCGUAUGCACGGAAUCGAAUUCGAAAGUUCCUAACUCGAAUUAUCGCCAUUUGUUGAAAACUAUAGUUUAAAGGUUUAAAGGAAUUUCAGGUUCACCGUAGUUUGACUUUGUUGCUACCAGAUUCGGAUUUUGAUUCCAGAACUUGGUAUAAGUUCAUUAAAUUAUUUAUGACUAGUUUGCGAAAUUUGGUGCAAAACGGAGUUGAUUUCACGUGAUUCGGACGUCCGAUUGAAAAGUUGCAUGUUCUUAAGUUUCAUUGAAAAUUUUAUUCGUUUUGGUAUCUGAUUCGUAGUUCUAGGUGUUAUUUUGGUAUUUGGAUCGCGCGAGCGAGUUCGUAUGAUUUUUUGGACUUGUGUGCAAGUUUGGUUUGGAGCCCCGAGGGUUCGGGUGAGUUUCGAAUAGGCUUCGGAGUGUUUUUGAACUUAAGGAAAUUGCAGGUUCUGGUACAGGUCUCUGACCUCACAAUUGUGAGGUCAGUGUUCGCAUUUACGAACGUUCAUGUCUUCUGUCAGGUUCGCAUUUGCGAAUAAGUAGUUCGCAUUUGCGAAGUAGUACUAGGGGGAGUAGAUCAUUUGCGAUCAAACGGUCGCAAUUGCGGAAGUCCAAGUUCGCAUUUGCUAUGGCAGCAGAGAUGGGGGAUCUUCGCAUUUGCGAAACAAUUCUUACAUUUGCGAGGUUCGCAAUUGCAAACUCCAGGUCGCAAUUGCGACAUCUAUGCCUGGACAAAAGAAGGAGAAAACGGGAUUUAGCUCAUUCUUUCAAAUUCUCAACCCUAAACACCUUGCAUGCGAUUAUCCCAUGAGGUUUGCUUCCUAAAUUCAUAGGUAGGUGACUCUAAUCUAUUUCAUUUCAAUUACCUAUUAUAUUUCAUAAGUUUUCAACCUUAAAACUAGGAUUUUCAUGGUAGAAAUUAGGGAUUAGGGUAGAAUUAGGGAUUUUUGUAAAAUUGGGAUUUAGACCUCGAAUUGAGGUCGGAUUUCGAAUUGAAUUACAUAACCGGGCUCGAGGGUGAAUGAGUGAUCGGGUUUUAGUCUAAAUCUCGAGUUUUAACCAAGCGGGGCGGGGGUUGACUUUUGUUGACUUUUUGGAAUAAGUGUAAAGAUCUUAACUUUAUGUAUUGUAAUUGAAUUUCCUAGCCUUAUUUGAUGUUAUUGAGUCGAUUUUGGUUAGAGUCGGUUGGUUUGGAGGCAGAUUUUAGAAGAAAGGCCCCGGUAAAGCUUUGAAUAUAUUCUGGAGCGAGAUAAGUGUCGUUGUUAACCUUGACUUGAGGGAUUAGGACUUGUUUGCCUAUUUACUACGUGUUUAAUGUGUGGGUACAACGUAUAUGUGAGGUGAUGAGUACUUAUGCGUCGUGGUUGGGUUAAAGCAUACGGGUAGAACUUGUUUCCUUGUGAUUUAUUGCCUCUUUAAUUAUGACAUCCAUGCUUAGAUUAGAUUAUUACUUAUUUGAUUGUUCCUUCCGUAUUUAUGGAUUAAUUUGUAAUGGUUGAGUAUUUUGGAAGUUGAGGUUUGGUAUCUUGGAAUCAUAAUUGACGUAAAGUACAUCCUUUGUAUUAUUUAUCUCCCGAAUAUUUAUAUUCACUACUACAUGGUAAGGGAGGGUGUUAAAGCAUGUAGGGUGAUACCGUACCAUUUCAUUACCUCAUUUAUUGAUUAAUACAUGGUGAAGAAGAGAAUUAAAAUACGAAGGCUGAUGCCGUGCCAAUCCAUAUCAGUUAUUCAUUGUUACAUGGUGAGAUCGAGAGUAAAAGUACGAAAGGGUGAUGUCGUGACAUUUCAUUUCUCUUUAUGUCAUUAUUUUAUGGUAAGGAUGAGAGUAAAAGCACGAAGGGUGAUGCUGUGCCAUCUUCAUACCAUAUGUUAUCUGUCCUCUUUGGUUGAUGAUUUAUUUGACUGUCUUGUGUUGUCAUUCGUGUUGUAGUUAUCAUAUAUUUUCCCCCUUUCGCAUGUCCACUCCCAACUGUACAUAUUAAAUCUCUAUACAUUGGGUAGGUUGUACUCAUACUACACUCUACAUAUUUUAUGCAGAUUUUGUAGUCGGUCACAGUGGCGGUCAAUAGAUUGCUCGGGUUGAAUAUUAGACGAAGACUUGAGGUACAGUUGCUUGGUAUUCGCAGUCCUGAAGUCCCCUUCUACUUUAUCUUAGCUGUGUAUUUUUUUCCAGACAACUUACUUUCAUUCAGACCUUUAUCUGUACUAUUAUAUUAGCUCGUACACUUGGGAUACCAGAUCCGGGGUUGUAUUUAAAUUUUUUGGUUGUUAUGAUUUUCCUAAUUUAUUUCAGUUCCAUAUCAGUUAUUUCAGUUUAGUUGGCAUCAACUAUAUCAAUUGUUUAAAAUGGCUUAAGAAUAUUCUAGCGUUGGCUUGCCUAGUAAGUGAAAUGUUAGGUGCCAUCACGGUCCCGAAGGUAGGAAUUCCAGGUCGUGACAAGUUGGUAUCAGAGUACUAGAUUACCUAGGUAUCACGAGUCACGAGCAAGCUUAGUAGAGUCUGGAGGAUCGGUGCGGAAACGUCUGUACUUAUCUUCCUGAGGCUAUGGGUUUUAGGGAAAAUAUCACUUCAUUUUUACUCUAUCGUGCGAUUUUUAUCCUAUCAUUGAUGAUUGAACCCUUCUAUUCUUGUUCUCUCGCAGAUGGCGAGAACACGCACUGCAUUUACUGUCGGACAGGAGCUGGAGCCCCCUGUGGCAGCUACGACUAGGGGCAGAGGUCUAGGCUGAGGUCACGCCAGAGGCCAAGGCAGAGGUAGAGGCAGAGCUCAGCCUAGAGCUCGAGCAGCAACACCCGCAGUGGAGCCUCAGGUGGAUUUCGAGAAGGUUCCAGCUCAGACUGUACCUAUCGAACCAGCUCAUGUCUCAGAGGGGUUCAUAGCCACUCCAGUGCUUCAAGACACUCUAGUUCGUUUGGUGGGCCUUAUGGAGAGUGUGGCCUAGAUCGGUACAUUCCCGGUGGCACUAACCGUAUCUCGGGCUAGGGGAGGAGCACAGACUCCCGCUACUCAUACUCCGGAGUAGGUGGCUCCCCAGUAUCAAACUCCAACAGCCCCGCUAGUUGCGGUAGUUCAGCCGGUUGUUGCGGCGCAGGCCGGUGAUAGGCCCGUUUUUUCUUUUGAGGCUGUGUUGAGGUUGGAUAAGUUUACCAAGCUCUUUCCUAUACAUUUCAGUGGUGCAUCUUAUGAGGGCCCACAUGAAUUUUUGAUAUGAGGUGUUGCGUAACAUGGGUAUAGUUGAGACCAAUGGGGCCGAUUUUGCAUCAUUUCAGAUGACUGGUUCCUCUCGGAGAUGGUGGAGAGAUUAUAUGUUGACUAGACCAACUAGGUCACUAGUACUUAUUUGGGAUUAGUUCUCACAACUAUUUCUAGAGAAGUUCAUUCCUGUCACCCUGAGAGAGGAGUAUCGUAGGCAGUUUGAGCGUCUCCAAUAGGGUAGUAUGACUGUUACCCAGUACGAGACUCGAUUUGUAGACCUAGCUCCCCAUGCCACUAUCUUACUUCCUACUGAGAGGGAGAGAGUGAGGAGAUUUAUUGAUGGGCUCACUUACACUAUCAGGCUUUAGAUGUCCAAGGAGACCGGGAGCGAUAUUUCUUUUUAGAAGGCCGUAGAUAUUGCAAGACGGAUUGAGUUAGUUCGUGCUCAGGUGAGGGGGCCGGUGUCAGAUAAGAGGCCUCGUCAUUCCGGUAGUUUCAGUGGUGUUUCAUAUGGAAACAGGGGUACCUUUGGUAGAGGCCAUCCUCCUAGACCAUUUCAUUCAGCGCUUCAGGCGUCCCACAGUGCUUCAGGGAGCCGUGGUCUUUACGUGCCUCAUUCUGGACAGCUAGCCUACAGUGCAUCAACACUAGCUCCUAGGGAUGGGUAUAAAAUCUAAAAAACCAAAUUCCGAACCAGACCGAAUUAAUUUGGUAUUUCAGUUUUGGUUUUUUUGGUAUUUCGGAAUAGUUCGGUAUUAAAUUUUUAUUAUUUUGGUAUAACGGUAUGGUCCUCGGUAUUAGGAUCUUGAAAUUUCGGUAUACCAAAAUACCGAAUUUUUAAAGAAUUUCAUGUAGGACCUAUACUGCCCAGCCUAAGUUUUAAUGUUAUAUCUCUACACUGCCCAGCCCAACCCAAUAAGACUAGGCCCAGCUUCCUUACCCUCUUUCCCUAGUUUCACUUCACUGUAGGAAUUAAUAAUUAGAAACCUAACAUAUACUGAAGAGAUCAGCUGUGAAAGAGAACUCAGAGAAGUAAGAACUGAGAAACCUAAGUACGGGAGUGCGAUAGAGACGACGUCACGGCGACUUCACGACCUCGACGCCGACGACUCUCAAGUGUGACUGCUAGUUUCCUCAUUUUUUUUUACCUUCAUUCUUUAAUCUUCAACUCUUCAACAGGUUCAUAACUUUUUAUUCUUCAAUCUUCAGUUUUUUUAUAAUAAUAGUUGUACUGUUGGAGAAGGAAUGUUAUUUUAGUAAAUAUCUCGAAAUUUCUUGACUACUGUAUAUGCCAGAUUUAUUAUGAAGCUUUAAGCACCUAGUAAUUAACAAAUAGAGAUGGCUUUCUUUGCGGCAUCACCUAGUAAACCAACUCACCUAGUCUUUGUUCCACAUCGUAUGAAGGGAAGACAAUUAGACAUUUAAAUUGAGAUCUGUUCAGGUGAGUUGGUUUAGGCCUAGUUCACUGACUUUUGAUGAACUUUACCUCAUCAUUUUUAACUCACUAGAUUUAUAUUAAAUGUUGUAAAUAGUUUUCCAUUUAAAUUUCUCUGUUAUUUAUGAGUAAUUGGCUAUAUUAAAGUUUAUGCCACCUUUUAGGACCAUGUAAAUGAUCUUUUCUUUACCUUUUACAACACAUAAUGUAUUAUACUUAUGAUGUUUACUUGCCUUUUGAACGUACUGCAAAACUUCUCCACUCUGCUGAUUUGGAAUAGCAAAGCUCACUAACAAACUGGAGACUAAGCUGGUACUCAUAAUGAAUGAAUUAAGGCAUGCAUGUAAAUUGUAAUGUGCUUGAAGAUGCACAUAUUUCCUAUAUUUUAUGGGUAUUAGUACGAGAGAUGUACAAUGUACUUAUGUCAUCUUUUAUGCUUGUUGAAUGCCCUAUUAUUAUGCAUAUAGAACACUUUUAGUUUGGUUAUCUUCUUUUAUUGCCAACUUAGAUCUCCCCUAUCUUCCUAUUUCUGGCCAUUCACAUCUACAAGCUUGCUUGAACAAUCUAGUCAUUUUUAUUUCAAUCAUUUAGUAUUAUUUUAUUUGAAUUUUGGCACAUGUUUACGUGCGUUAAUUUAGAGUUUUGACAUCUUUAAUUAAAAAGUUUCAUUUGCGGAUCAGUUAUUGGUAGUUCAUUAUGAAAUAUUACCUUGUUAUGAUAGAUCAUCUAAGUUGCAAUUAAAUUCGCUUGCAAUUUGAAUCGUGAUGAUAUUAGUUCAAUCCUAAUUGGCAUUUUAUCCACAUACUCAUUUUUUCUUAUGUUUUAAAAAGAACCUUGGCAUAUGAUUUGUUUUUUAUUCACCACUAAAAUAAAAACACAAUAUAUAAUAUUACAAAUUACAAUAAUCUAUAUUUAGAUUUACACAAUACAAUGUAUAGAUAGAUUAAUUAGUCAAAUUUAGUAAAUGUAUCCAUUUUUUCCAUUUUAUUAAAAGAAUAAAAAGAAAAAAAAAGCUUUGAUUAUUUGUAUUUAUCACAUUGGACAGGAGAGAUACGUCAGUCAGUGAAACGCGUCUCCUUCCCAAUCGCCACAGUGAUGAGACUUCGAGUUCGGGGCAAGCAAUAACUCUUUGGGCUUUUGGAGUUUGGGUUUAAAAUCUCUUAGCGGCCCCCUUUUCAUUUCGAUCUUCAUCUCUCUACUCUCAUCACCAUCAAAGAUCAGUAGACGCAUUACAAUCUCCUCACAGAUCUGCGGUAAUAGUUCUGUUUUCCUUAACACCAUUUCUCGCUCUCUAUGUUUAUCAACUUACCAUUGUAUUUUUUACAUAUAUUUACAGCUGUCGAUUUGUAUAUCGCUUUUUGGUAUAGAAAAAUGUUAGGGUUUGGGCUUGUUAGUAACUUGUAUUUAGAGUUUUACUUGUUUGCAUGAUUUUUCCUUUUUCUUUUUCAAUUUACAUCCGGUUUAGGCAAAUAAGUGUGGAAGAAGUGUAUUUAAGGUUCUUUUGAUUGAUGUGGAUAUGUCUCGUUGUUUUUAUGUAAUUGAAGCAAAUGAGAUGAAGCUAUUUCUUUUUUACCUAGUAAAAAAUAAUAUAAAGAUUUAGUUACAAAAAUAAGGAGAGUAAAAGUCACCUAUUCGAUUGUUCCAUGAUGCUAAUGAACACGAAAUAGCACCCAAGGGUGUGACCUUGGCCGAAGUGGUCAAUGAAGUGGGAAGAGAACCAUGAAGUCUCAGUUCUCAGGUGAUUUCUUCCAAUUUGCCUAAGCGUUAGAGCCCGUUUGGCUUAGCUGAUUCAAAGUGGCUGAUAAGCAUUAAGUGCUGAAACUGAUUUAAUAAAUAAGUGUUUGGAUUUAAGUGCCGAAAUUGAUAAUAAGCAGUUAAAGUGUUUGGUAAAUAGGUGUUGAUAAGCAUUUUCUUGUGAUGUAAUGACUUAAAUGCCCCUUAAACUAUUCACACUAAUAAAUGUAUACUUAUACAAGAUUUCAAAUUCUAGAUUGAUUGUAGUAUAAAUUAACUUAUGGAUUACUUUUAGUUCCAAAUUGAUUAGAUUAAAUUAAUAUUUAGUAAGUAUAUAUUAUUUUAGCAACAGUGAGCUAAAGUACACUAAGAAGAUCGUUAUUACAUCGUCAAUUUUCAUUACCAACACAAUGCAAUUAAAAAUAAAUAAUUUAGUUCAUAUUUCACAAUAGCAUUUUGAAUGAUGCAAAAGAGCCACAUUUUCAAAGAGAUGAAGAAAAUCGAUUUACAGAAGAUAGAAUUUUUCUAACUCAAAUUAAUUUGAUUGAUUUAUGUUGACGAUAAAGAGCUUUUUGUUGUUCAUGAUGGUGGACAAUAUUUCUGAGAAAUAAGCCCGGGAAAAGAUGAUGGAGUGAAAGUGAAGAAUAGAGUAAAGAGUUUUAUUAAGAUAAAUGUAUUUCAGAAUUAUAUAAUAAUAAUAAUAUGGACAAAAUAGUAAAAAUUUUGGUCAAACUAAAAGUGCUUAUAAGUUAAAAAGUCAUAAGUUGGGGAUGACCAACUUAUGACUUAUUUUGGCUUAUAAGCACUUGACUUAUAAGCACUUGACUUAUAAGCACUUUUGGUGUUUACCAAAUGCGUAGAUAAGCCGAAAAGUGCUUAUAAGCUAGUUUGACCACCUUAUAAGCUUAGUCAAACACUCUCUUAGUGGGCAUAGAUUGCAACUGGUGGGACGUAGCAGGCAUUAGUGGAAUAAUCGAAGUGCGCACAAGUUGGUCCGGACAACCGUCAUAAAAAAUAACACGAGCUAUGCAAAUACUUUAUGUGAGUUUCGAAAUUCUAGCAUGGCAUUAUGGAGGAUGAUGGUAACUUUUUCAAAUUCUUCGUGGACCUAGUGCUGGCAAUUUUAACCCAAAAUUGUUUGACCUGCACUACAGAUCCGUAGUAAAGCCGUAUCCAACUCGGUCAUUUAAAAUAUUGGUCAUCCCGUAUUCAACGCGUAAUAAAAAGGUCCAGUUUGGGUUAAAAAUAAUUUGAAAACUGGUCAAGUGCACACCAAGAAACCAUUCACCUGUUAAGUUCACAACAACAACAACAAAAAAAAAACCCAGUGUAAUACCACAAAGUGGAGUAUGGGGAAGGUAGAAUGUACGCAGACCUUACCUCUACUUGUUAAGUUCACAAUGAUUUUGGAUAUUGCCUAAUAAAGCCAAAAUGAAGUAUAUAGACGUAUAGAAUAGAUUGUACUGGGGAAACCACCUAAACCUAUGGAGUUCUAUUGCCAGUGCCAAAUUUACGUUUGAGGCUGAAAUUGACACCUCGCUUUUCAGUUGAUGUGUUCAAGUAUUUCAAGUGACUUUCUGUUAUUCCAAUAGACAAGGACAAUUUCUUCGUUUUGAAUUAAUACAGUAGAGUUUCUCUCGUUGGAACCGAAGAACAAAUGCCUUCAUACCCAAAUUGGUUGACUUGCUCUAUCCACCCGUAAUAAACUCUUAUCCAACUCGCCCAUUUAAAAUAUGUGUAAUAUGGGUGUAACCAAUAUUCUACCCGUAAUAAAAUGGGUUGAAUACAGGUUAGAAAUGGAUUGAAAACAGGUCAAGUUCUCACUAAAAAAUCUUUCACUUGUUACGCUCACACUCUUUGGGACAUUGUCUAAUGAAGCCAAAGAUGAAGUACAUAGAAGUAUAAGCAGAGUGUCCUGAAGCCUGGAGUUAAUUGCUAGUGCCAAAUUUUGGUCUUCUUUGAGGGUGAAAUUGAGACCUCGCCAUUUCAGUUGACGUAUUCAAGUAUCUUAACCGACUUUCUAUUAUUGCCUUAGACAGGGAUAAUUUCUUCAUUUCAAAUAAAUAGAGUAGAGUUCUGCCAAAGAUUAAUGCACAAAAUUAAUGGUGGAUACUACUUGAGUAUAUGCAUUGAUCCCAAUAUUCAGUCUGAUAAAAAAUAAGGAAAGAUAGUAAUUUUGGUACCUACUGGAUGCACCUAAUUGUGUAGUAGAAUAUGUAAUUAUGCUUUGUCGCAUUGUCGCAUGACAAAAAAGAUUGUGAAGAAUUAAAAAUCUGAGAAAUAUAAUUUAUAUCAACUGUAUCUUUUUUACAUUACUCAUAAUUCUAUUUGCAUGUCAUUACCAAAAUAUACGACUUUUCCUUUUAUACAUAAACCAACAGAAAUGGAAAGAAUCUUCCCUAGUCAAUGUUUUAAAUGUUAGUGAGUUGUACCUUUCUAAAUGACUUCCCUUAUUUGCUUAAUUUCUCUUUCUCUUUGCUAGAAAAUUAGUGAAAUUGAGCUCGUGUUUGAUUUAUUGAUUGCUGUAGAUUUUUACUAUAACGAUGAACUACUUUAGGGUAAAGACGAUGAUCCACUGUUCAUAUCUCUUUUUUGGAAUAGAAGGAUCUUCAAGAUGGCUGGUAAAAAUUCUUGCACAUUGAAAGAGUUUGAGCCAACCAAUGUUGUGAUGGAAAUUCAAUAGAAUGUGUGAGUAAUUCAGAAUAUCAGUUCCAUUUUAACUAUUUAUUGUAAAGUAAUGUAUAAAAUGCGAACAGAUUUUUUUCCUCACACGCCUAUAUAAAAUCGGUCAAACCGUUUUGGCCCAAACUGUUAAUCACCCAAUCGGCUUUGACCCGCUUUAAAUAUGCGCUGAUUAGGUUAUGAUCCAUUUUUGUUCAACCAUUUUCAACUCGCCCAAAUGCAACCCAAUCCGGGCAUAUGCUACCACUAGUGAACAUUGUGUGUUCUAUUAUCUGCAUGUUUAAGAGUAUGUAUCUAUGUGCUUGGUGGAUGUCUCAGCAUAUUUCAAGGUUUUGGUUUUUCUUUUUCCUAUUUUUGCAUUUAAUACGUGAUGAUGUUGUAUUCUUUCGAUCAUUUUGACCGUAACGACUAAUAAUAUCUUUUGAUUGUCUAUUCAAUCAUAUUCCUUUACAGAUAAUAGGUAAUUACACAUUGGGAAGGCUUCAAAAUUAUUCUCCCAAAACAUUUCUGAAGAAAAGGAAAAGGGAAGCAGCUGUAUGCCAAGGAAAUUUUUCUGCAUGACCCUCUUGACAUUUCUGCAAUGUCAGGGUUACUCAAUGUAUUCAUCUUUCUAUAUAAUGUUCAUUAGCUUUUUGAUACUCGGGUUCUGAUCUUGUAUUUGCUGGUUUCUGUUGGAUUUUUUUUAUCACUUUCCUCUGUUUGGAAGAACACAUUUGAGCAUGUCUAUCCGCCUUAUCUCUUGGAUUUUCAAAACUAUUUGCUUGUCACUGCGAGGGUGAAGAUUCUUAUAUGUCAUAUCAAUUUUUAAGAUUUUUACUUGUGAUGCACGUUUUAUUUUGUUUAUUAAGUUGGUUAACUUGCACUCUAUGUUCGUUGCUUAAUGGAGAUAUUGUUGCCAGUGCUACACCAUUCUCUUUUACAAAAACUAAAUUAUGCGUCAAUUCUGAAUUAGUUGAGGUUAUACUUUAAAGUUAAUCCUCCUAAUUUAUGUUGAGCAAUUGAUCAGAAGAUGCCAUCUCCUAUCAACACUUGUUGGGAAUUAUAUUAAUACAUACAUUUAACCUAGGUCAGGUUUUUAUCCUUUCUCUCGAUCAUGCUAGCUUAUCUCCCCUUUUUUGUGUCCGAGCUUUGGUACAAGCUGUAUAUGUGUUUACCUCAAGUUUUGCUAAUAGCCUUAUUAGCCUCUUUGUUAACUUCCUUACAUUCUUCAAAGGAUUCUUGUGCUGUUGUUAACUUCCCGUAGUCCCGCUUUAAUAGUUCUUUAUUUCCUCAUUCUAUCACAAAGAUCAUUAUAGUCAUGGUCGUAGGCCUUUACACACCUAGAACUUCACUUGUUACUCUCUCAAUUCAACUUGACAUUUCCUUAUAAUUCAUUAGCUUUUAAGUCCCAGACUCCCUCUCUCUAUUGUUUGUCCAUAAAUGCUACUUGGUUUGUGCUUUUUAGUGUCCACUAUUGAAUUUUCGGUUGCAUGCCGUUCAUCUCAGUUUUCUUUUUCGCUCACUCUUUUGCUUCACAUCCAUGUAAAUUAGUUUGUGUUUGGUUGUUAAAACUUCUUCUGGUAUAUCAAUGCGGUCCUUAAAUUUGACCAUGUCAUUUAUUUCUGAUAAGGAUGGAAUUAAUUUGGUUAUGGUUACCUCACACAAAUAUUUUUCCAUGUGAUUUCCUUUUUUACAAUAGGUAUAGCUAAAGCUAAAUCACAAGGUGAUACAAACUUUGAAAUAGUGUUUCCUUCUUCAUUCCUAGCACGAUAAUCAUAGUCCAAUAUAUUAGGUUGGAUCUGUCACUAUAUCUACCCAUAUGUCCAUUUAGGUCUCCCCCAAUAAACAUCAGUAAAGAUCUGGCCGUCACUCGGGAUCCUUUGAACCAAGGUAUUCGUAUCUUCUUAGGACGUGGUUUAGUUAUCUCAUCUAACCAUCUUUGGGGAGCAAAAUUUUUUUAUUCCAACAUAAUUUUUUGAAGAAAUCACAAUUUUGUUAGAAUGCAAUAGAUCCAAAGUGAUCUGUCCCUUCUCCCUUUCCCGCACAUAGCAGGAGAUUACCGCUUCGUCAGAAAAUUUUACUAAAUACUUAUAAUAAUUAAAAUGCAGAAGCUAAAACAUGUAUAAAUUGAUUGAAGUGACCCUGCUUGACAUAACCAGGUAAGUAGCUCGUUUGGUCAAGCGCCCUAGUUUUCUAGGAUAUAUCAUGGGUUCAAAGCUCCGUGGCAGCGUUUUCUGUUUUAAAUUUUUGAUAAUAUAAAUAAGCAGCAUUUUCUGUUUUAAAUUUUUGAUAAUAUAAAUAAAAUACUUUCCAGCUGGUUUUGAACCAUUGAUCUGUAAGUGUUAAACAAAAGAAACCAAUGGGUCAAUAACCAAAUGCCGGAAACAAAAAAUUAUUUAAAAGCUUCGAGUUCUAAAGGAUGUUGCUGCUUCCAUAUGUUGGUCUGCUAAUUUUUUCUUUUCCUUCACUUUCUCCUUGGCGAUGAUACCAAUUAAGAACAAUUUCGCAGAUUAAUUAUGAGUUUUUGAGUGAUUGUUUGGUGCUUUUUAUAGAACAGAAAGUACAUUUAGUAUAUUUCUAGUGAGGUUAUUUUGAAUACAUUUCAAAAAAUAAUUUUUUUUUGAAGAAGAGUUGUAAUAUGAUUGAGUUGUGCUUUAUUCAUAUAAUUUGAGUUAUACUUUUUUUCUUUCUUUAAUAUAGAGAUUUGUGUAUUGUUCCAUUAUAAAAUGGUGACACCGCUUACGAAAAGUCCCUUACGCCACUGCUACAAGGAAUCAACAUGUCGUGCCAGAUGAGUACUGAGAACCUAUGUUGCUCGGUGUCUCUAAAAAUGUUGCUGGGUGUGUGUUGGAUCCUCCAAAAUUAAUGCAUUUUUUUUGACGAUCCGACACGGCUGCGACAACGUUUUGCAGAGUCCGCGUAACAUAGCUGAGAACUCCAACCUCUUAUUGAACAUUGGUCAAAGUUUGACCUUUCGUCCAUUAUGGUCGCAUAAUGGAACUUCAAAGCUUCAUAGACCUCUUGUUCUAUGUAUGACUUGUUCUUUUUGACUGAUAAACUAGAUAUUCUUGUUUGCAUCCGUUUUAGAUGGCUCAUUGAUGCAUGAAAUGGGUGUUGCUGAACUGCUAUAAUGUUUAGUAGUUCAUGCUUAAUUAUUUUUGAUUUAAUUGUAGUCAUCUCUAAACGGGUCAGCGUCAAAUCUUCCUGACAACACCGGACGCUCAUUUCCUUCAUCUUUCUCUCCUCAAUCUGGUGCAGCUUCCCCUCUUUAUCAUCACUCUGGUGAGUUGUUUUCUGUAAUGUUCUUACUUUCUGAUUUUGAAGCAAAUGUACUAGCAAACUUCUUCGUCGCAGGAAAUAUUCAGGGCCUUCAUAACAUGCAUGGGAGUUUUAAUGUUCCUAACAUGUCGGGUACACUUGGUUCAAGAAACACAACAAUAAAUAAUGUCCCUUCAAGUGGUGUCCAGCAAUCUGGAAAUAGCCUCUCUAGUGGUCGUUUUGCAUCAAAUAAUAUUCCGGUAGCCCUUUCACAGGUUUGUCUAUUUCUAUUUCUUUUUUUGUUCAGGAGAAUAAUGGAAAAAUAAUAGAAAAACUCUCUCUAAGGUGGUAAUUGUUGUUACUUUCUCGGUUUGGUUUCUCUCCCUCGGUUUGCACUUAAUGUGAGAUGUUGGAGAAAUAUUUCUGAAAAAUUGGGAAGAAGUUUUGAUUUUGAAAUGUUGUAAUUUGAUUUAGGAAAUGGAGUUUUUAGAGAAGAUCUUGAGAGACAUGCUACUAUUAGCUUAAACCAUUUCAAGCAUUGACUACAAUUAGCUUUCGAGAUCUUCCUGCUUCUGUUUUUUUCCUUCUCUUUUCUCAUUCUUUAUUCACAGCAGGCUAACAAACUCUAGAGGCUCAACUUUCAUUGCAUUGCAUAUCUCUGUUGCAGAUAUCCCAGGGAAGUUCUCAUGGUCAUUCCAGCAUGACAAGUAGAGGUGGUAUGAGUGUUGUUGGUAACGCGGGAUAUAGUAGUAACACUAAUGGCGUUGGGGGUUCUAUUCCUGGAAUUCUGCCAACCUCUGCAGCAAUUGGUAAUCGAAGCUCUGUUCCAGGCCUUGGCAUGUCCCCAAUUUUGGGAAAUGCUGGUCCAAGGAUGUCAAACUCAGUUGGAAAUAUAGUUGGAGGCAACAUUGGGAGAAGCAUCAGCUCUGGUGCAGGAUUGUCUGUGCCUGGUCUUGCUUCUAGACUAAAUUUGACUGCGAACAGUGGUUCUGGAAAUUUAAAUGUUCAAGGAUCUAAUAGGCUAAUGAGUGGUGUCCUCCAGCAAGGUAAAUUAACCUGAAAUGCUGAUAGUUUCUCUUCUUUUUGUUUUGUUAGUUUCUCUAUCUUGCUGUCUGUUCUUUGUUUUAAUAUCCAAAACAUUUACUGACGUUAUUUUCAUACUUUACAGAGGCUUAGCUAGUUUCGUUCUUUCUUGAAUGCAGUACCUAAUUUGAAAUAUAGACGUUUAAAAUUUUUAGUAAAUUUCUUUACAUAUCUUUUUUGGUCCUAUUUUCUAAAUUUUGUGAACUGAAAAUUUCUAUGUAGCUUUAACUUGAAAUAUGAAGAGGAUAUUCUUUGCUGAUAGUUGGUUAUAGGUAGAAGUUUUUCCAGGCAAACAGUCUUUUAUUCCCUUUUUUGGGGGGGUGGGGGUGGGGUCAAAUGUGAAUCAUCUCCCUUAGCUUUGGGUUUGUGAUGGAUGUCUUGACCUUGGAAAGUAUAUACAUAACCACCUCAUUCCACCUUCGAAAGUAGGAUUGGUUCUAACCUUACUUUCCUUAAAAAACACAGCAGCCAAAACGACCCAUUUCAACAUAUGACAGAAGAAAAAGUUGAAAACAUGGAGAAGUUGAACAAAAAUAAUAUAAGAGUUGCCCUCUCCUACCCCCGUUUUCACCUUUACUGCGUAGCACUAAUUGGGAGGACGGAGGAAAGAAGAGGAAUAAGGGAAGAGGGAAAUAAUUGGUGUAUUUAUGUUCAAUAUGCCAAAUAUGUACAUUUGGAUUGAAAAUAUGCAUUUUCACCUUAUUUUACAUAAUGUUGAGAAGGAUAUGUAUGCAUUUAUGGGAGGUUAUGUUUAUAUUUACAGCGGCUGGGUAAUUUAUGUACCUCAAGCUAAAAACUGAGGGGAGUAAUUCCUUUUUUGGGUUUAUAAAGCAAACUGAGAUUAUCCAUAUUCAAUUGUUUAUUUACAGAGGCUGGGUGGCUUAUGUGGCACUAAUUGAGGGAGAAUCCUUUUUAACCUUUUCUUCUUUUUUUUUAAACUCUAAAAAGUAGUUUCAAAUAAGGCUGAUUUUUUUAAAGCUAGUGUUAAAAUUUAUACUGUUUCCGCUUUGUUCUUCAGUAACCUCCUUUUAAAGCUAUUGGCUAUUUGAACCUUGAACUGUUGAUUUUGUGCUCUUCAUUUCACAUGUUUUUGAUUUUUUUCCCACCAUUGACCUCGCUUUUCUAGGACUUCCUCAGUAUUUAAGAGGCACAUUAUUAUUUGAUUUGUUUAAAUUCAGUAUGUAAAUAUGCUUUGAUGGUACUUACUUUUAGCUGCUUUUGCCAUUGAUUCUGCAUAAAGUUGUUAUUUGUAGAUUUUAAGGCGAACUAGGCACCUACGAUAUAUAUUAUGUUGUAGGUCGAUCUAUCGUCUAUGCUAACGGUACCAUCUGCAUUCAGCCUCUCCGCAGGUAAUGUCUAUGUUAGGUAAUUCAUAUCCUCCUGCUGGUGGUCCACUAUCUCAGAACCAUAUCCAAGCAGUCGGCAACCUUAAUUCUAUGGGAAUGCUGAAUGAUCUGAAUUCAAGUGAUGGAUCUCCAUUUGAUAUAAACGAUUUCCCUCAGCUAAGCAGUCGACCUAGUUCUGCUGGAGGGCCUCAAGGACAAUUGGGUAAUCAAAGUGCCUUUCCUUCCUGAUAUUCUGCGUAAGUGAUUUUAUUUGACAAUUCAUUCAGAAUACUGAGGAAGGAACAAUCUCAGGUUCACUGCGAAAACAAAUUGUUCAACAAAAUCAGGAAUUCAGCAUUCAAAAUGAAGAUUUUCCGGCCUUGCCAGGAUUUAAAGGUGCUUAUAUGCAUGCACAAAGCUCUUUUCAUGCUUUCUUAAGUUCGUUGAUAAAUCACUCAGCAUAUAUAACUUUGUAUGACAAUUUGUUCGGUGGGGUCAAAAAAGCAAGGGUGGGAGGACGGAAAUAGAGGGAUAUGAGUCAUUUCGCUGUUUUGUUAAGAAACAACCUACCAGGGAAAGUGAAAGUAGAAGGGUGCAUACCCCUCUCCGCGAGCCUUUUCAUUUCUUUAAUUGGGUGGAGAGCAAAGGUAUCUGAUUUACUCCCCUUAAAGUUGCACCAGUCAGCGUGAAAUGAAUGACAAAUACUUCGGAGUAGGUAAGUCAACCAAAGCGCUUUCCCUUUGCCCUUUCAUCCCCUCCCUUGAAACAAACGUAGUGUUAGUGGAUCUGAAUUCUCAAUUCCUAGUAUGACCGGUUGAUGUCGCACCCCACCAGCUAAACUUGUUCACUCGUCCUGGGCUUUAUUUGGUGUAUAGCUUUCUUUUUUCUCCUGGGGGGAGCGCUAGGAAUUAUGUUUCAGCAUGCUUAUGGGGCUUUAUUCCGUAGUUGUUUCUUUUAUAUUUUUGUCUUGCUUUAUGCGUGGAAAUGUUCCUAUUUGCUCUUGCAUGUUAGAGUCUACUAAAUGCAAUUGCUCUCGUGUUUGCUUAGGUGGCAAUGCUGAUUAUGGUAUGGAUCUACACCAGAAAGAACAACUCCAUGAUAAUACUCUUUCUAUGAUGCAGCAGCAGCACUUCUCUGUAAACACAAAAAUACUGGAUUACUAUUUUAAAUGUUGUGAUUACUAGUAAAUGCUUUUAGCCUCAUGACUCUGCCCUCAAUCUCUCAUAAACUAAUGCACAGAUGGGCAGAUCUGGUGGCUUUAACUUGGGAGGGACAUACUCAUCACUUCGCUCACAGCAGCAACAGCAACAUGCCCCAUCAGUGAGUAAUAGUGGUCUCUCUUUUUCAAGUGUUAACAACCAGGAUCCACUACAUUUACAUGGUUCAGAUGUCUUCUCAUCAUCGCACUCCAGUUAUCACCAACAGGUGCAUUACUCUUACAUUUUUGCUCUUAUUUGUUUCAUUUUUUUCCGUUUGUCUUUCUCUUUAUAUUUUGGGGUGCUAUUGAGGUGAGAUAUGUAUCACAUGCACUCUGCAUGAAGAGAGAAGCCCUCCUGUGUUGGAGAUUUCCAUUCCUUUUAAAAAAAAUAAACCAUGUUUUCCCCUUACCUAUUUCUGUUUGGAGGUUUCUUUUAUUUAUUUAUUCUUGUUUGGGUCGGGUGGGGUUUGGGGGGUGGGGUAGUUGAGGUUGGUAUUCCUUUGUUGCCUUUUGUGUUCUUCAAACUGUGGAGAAGUAUGUGUAUUCUUCUGAGUACUUGUACGAUAGUGGCUAUUCCAAACCAAAAAUGCGAUUUUAUCAGAAGAGCUAUCUUCUUCUGAAGCAUGACUGAGUUGAGUUGUGACAUGGAAAAGCUAGAGUUUUGCUAGUAUUAUGCUGAAGAAGUUUUUUCUAUAUUAUAUGUAAUUUGUAGUGCAUGCUAUAAGGUCCAUACUCAUACAGCUUUAAGUGAUACUUUACUCGCUUUUCACUGUAUUUGAUUCAGUCUGGUGGACCUCCUGGUAUCGGGUUACGGCCUCUUAAUUCUCCAAGUGCUGUUUCUGGUAUUGGCUCUUACGAUCAGCUUAUCCAGCAGUAUCAACAACAUCAGAGUCAAUCCCAAUUUCGACUGCAGCAAAUGUCUGCUUUAGGUCAGUCGUACAGGGAUCAGGGCAUGAAAUCCAUGCAGGCCCAAGCUGCCCCUGACCCUUUUGGUAUGCUUGGUUUGCUAAGUGUAAUAAGGAUGAGCGAUCCGGAUCUGACUUCUCUUGCACUUGGAAUUGAUCUAACAACUCUUGGAUUGAAUUUGAACUCUACCGAAAAUUUACACAAGGCAUUUGGUUCCCCAUGGUCUGAUGAGCCUGCCAAGGGUGAUCCAGAAUUUACUGUACCGCAAUGUUAUUAUGCCAAGCAACCACCUCCUCUAAAUGUGAGUGACCUUUAUAUUCUUGUUUAUCUUCAUUCGAUUGCCCUUCUUCAAAUCUACUAACACAUUUGAAUUGGCUCCAGCAAGCAUACUUCUCCAAGUUUCAGUUAGACACUUUAUUUUACAUUUUCUACAGGCAAGUCUCUCUCACAAGCAAGUCUAGUUUUCUUGGCCAUAAAAUUUGAAUCUAGAAAUAAAUCAAUCUGUUGUUCUUUGCAGCAUGCCAAAGGAUGAAGCCCAAUUAUAUGCUGCUAAUGAAUUGUAUGCUCUCUUUUCUAUGAAAUUGGUUUAUAGGGUGCUAUUUUGUUCUGUUGUAAUUCCUAAUAGCAAUUUAGCUUUCUAUUGCUUCUUGGGAUCCGCAUACAAAAUUACUAACCUAUUUGUGGAUGUUUGACUUGCUUCAGUUCUUGAUAACCAUUUGUGGAUGUUGAAUAUACUUGAUAACCAUUUGCAUUAUUUCAUACAGGUAUAAUCGGGGCUGGUUUUACCACAGAGAACAUCGAUUAUGGUUUAUGAGGGUCGCCAACAUGGAGCCUCUUGUCAAGACCAACGCCUAUGAGAGAGGAUCUUAUAUAUGUUUUGAUCCAAACACAUGGGAAACAAUCCGCAAGGUAUGGAUUUCGUUCUACUUUUUGAAUUUAUGUAAUUGUUCGAUUGAGGUUCUAGUUUUCUGAUUUUUCUGCAAUUCUCUGCAGGAUAAUUUUGUGCUCCACUAUGAGAUGUUGGAAAAAAGACCUGUUCUACCUCAGCACUAACGAUUCUGUUCAGCUUAUAGUUGUACAUUUUUCACAUAUCCCAUUUUCUAGGAGUCAACUAGCUCUCACCUGUAGUUUUCUGCUCAAUUGGUUUUUUUGGCAGCCAUUGUUACUGUAAUGUUUUGUCAGUUGGUGGUGAUUUACCUGUUGUAUCUUUUAGAUGCUGCAAGUCAAAAAGAAAUAUAUUCCGGAAUAAUUCUCCCAUUUUCCCUGUCGAACCAAACUUUUUUGUCGGUGGAAAUGCCAUUUUUGAGUUAACUGUAGACAUACGAAUGACUUGUCCCUUACUGGCUUAAUAUGAAACAUAGCUUAUUCUUCAACCACCCAAUUUGUCAUUCCUGCAGAAAAGGAAAAAGAAAAAGAUAAAAAAGUUAAAGAGUUUAAUGUACUUUUGUCACUCUACGACCCAGAUCCUUCCCAAACAUUAUAAGCUCCAUAAUUAUCCAGUUAUGAAGGUUAUAAAGCCAUGUUAUCCAUAAAACUGUACGAGGCCUAGUCUCAAAAUGACGCUUAUAAGAUGAGAAUUGAUAGUAGAUAUCCUCAUAAUUUCUUUGCCUCAAAAUACUUCUCCUCCUUGCUUUGUAUUGUAAACUGGUUCGAGGUUAAUUGGCUCUUCGCGAUUGAAGUUGUCACAGUUGCUUGCUGCGUACCAUCUCUACUUCAAGAAGAGAAAAGACCAUCGUAACGGCUAAAUCCGUAUCUAAUCUGUAGCACAAAAGGGGAUUCUAGAUAAAAAAAAUUCGUAUGGUUCCUGUGCUGAGGCCUUUAUUCUCUCCGGCAUUUCUUUGAACUCCUCGUCGAUCUUGCAAUGUAAAGGCUUCUCCAGGAAUAGACACGACGGGGUAAGAGGGGAUAUAUUUGUUCUGUUUCCACCAAAUUAAGCAAUUUAACCCGAUUGUUAGAAUACAUUACCAGUAAGGUGAUAAAUUUUGGUUUGGUAUAAACACGAGUGCAGAUAAUGUGGUAAGAGCCUAUAAUCUCCUGCCUCCUUAUUAGUAGGACGCCAGCUCCAGAUUGUAUCCAGAAGUGAACAAGUUAAAUUGCGCUUUCUGAACACCAACAUAAGAUUGACAAAAAUUUUCAUGAAGUAGAGCAACUACCUUUGACUCAAGAGUGCACAUGAAGGUAAAGCCAGUACCCAAGAAGAAGGAUAGGAUUUACAAGGAAGUCUUUCUAGAUAGCAUACAUUUUCUUGUAUUCAUUGUUUAGAACAUCUGAAUCAGAGAUGACUGAGGCUGACCAGGACAAGGACCUGCUGGCCAGAGAGUUCUUUCGGAUGUUCCUCUUGUUUGAGGAUUCUAUCCGAUGCAUUAUGACCCAAUAACACAGUGUACCUAGUGUUGCAACUAAUAUGAUUGUUCCUAUUAUAGUGACUACAACAGCCAGCCACUUCUCAUUCUUGCCUACCACAACAAACGAUAGAGCCAAAAAAGCCACUGAAAUAAGCACACAUGCCAACCACAUAAGCUUGUUUAUGAUAGCCAUCAUCUGCUUCUUUGCUUUGCUUUCGAUCACCACGAUUGAUGUCUGAACAAUCACAACUGCAAGAGAGAUGAAUAAGGCGAUAGAGUCGAGGACAAAGAAUAUAAGAAAUAAGGGGCUUGGUGCUAUAUUUGCUUCUCCAAGGGAAUGGCCUGGUGGGAUGUCUUCUGCAUACUCUAUGUAUUGUCCCGGGACAGAAAAAAUCGCUGCAUAGGCGACUGUGGCAAUGAGUACAGCUACAACUGUGGUGGAAUUAAUAGCAUUGUUAAGGCCUUCAGCAUGCAUUUUAUCUAUGCGUUUGGCAAUGCCAUGUAUACGUUUUCUUGUCCGUCGUGUAUGUUCCAUUUGAUAGUGCACUUCAUGUUUUAUGUCACUAACAGUUUGCUUCAACUCUCUUGCUGGAUUUGUUGCCUGAGGUUUGAUGGCUCGGAUACUUUGUACACCUGAUUCUUGUAGGAUGACUGCAAUAUUGACCUGUCCCAUUUUCUCUGCAGUGUCAAUGGCUGUUUCGUUGGACCUAUUUACAGCUUUAGUGUCCGUCUCUUUCUGCCCAAGCAGCAACUUAACAAUCUGCAUAAUUCAAAGCAAAUAUGAGGUGACUUCACAGCAAUGACCUAACUACAUUGACAACUUUUUAUGAACAUUUUUCAAGAACCUAUGCUCAUUUACACAUGAUGUUGUGCAUGAGGUGAGAAGAGUAUCAAUUUUGUCCAUUACCCCUAAAUGACCAAGUUUUUCUACAAAAGCAUCCCAAAUUCGCAUCCCAUUGACACAUUCUGUUUCAUCUUUUAUUUGUUUGUCAUAAUCAUUAUUUCACCAAAUAAAUCCUGCAUCCACUAGCCAGUCAUUGAUUUUCUAGUAUCCUCUUUGAAAAGAGGAAAAAGUGCACAAAAAGUCAAGGGAUUUAACUAAUAUACAAUGACAAUGUAAAGUAUUUUUACCUAUUACUAUUAGGUAGGUUACCUGCCUUAUUGUUCAGCUUACUGAUCUCACUUUUUAUGGACGAUUAUCUGUAGUUAUCUUUUACCAACCUAAUAGUGUAAAAAAUCCUUCUACACUAUCAAUAUAUAAAAGUUAGACUCGAAGUCAAUAAACUAACUCCAAAGACUCUAAACAACAACAAAAUCUAUAGGCAAGAAAACAGCAUACCUGAGCCCUUCCUUUCCGGGCUGCAAUAUGCAAUGCUGUAUUGCCCUUUGUGUCGACCAUAUUUAUCGACUUAGCAUCUGCUCUAAUCAGCUCCUCUACAACCUCAAGAUUUUGUCCUUUGACAGCCAUGUGAAGAGCAGUCUGCCCCUUCUUAUCCAUCCGGCUCGCAAUUCCCCGCUCCUUAUUCAAAAGGGCCUUCACAACCUGCACAUGUCCAUUUCUGGCAGCAGAAUGAAGUGCUGUUUUCCCAUUACUUUUAGCAAUAGUGGCCAAACUUUUCUCUGCUUCUAAUAGAUAAUUCACCACCUCAAUAUGCCCUUGGUUUGCUGCACUAUGCAAAGCUGUUGUAUUUGCAUUAUCGACAGUCAUUGACAGCUCAGGAUGUGCUCCCAUUAGUACCUUCACCACAUCUGCAACACAUUAGGAAAAAAAAAUCUAUAAAACUAGAAUCAGAAAAUAGAGAAGCAAAAUGGAGCUGUUUAUACUGCCAUCAACAUACCCAAAUCCCCUUGUUUAGCAGCAAUGUGCAGCGCAUCAAAUCCGUUCCUUGCUUUGAUUCCAGCAGAAACAAGAUCAUAGUACUUGAUCAUCUCCUUAACUAACUCAUAAUAACCAUAUUCUGCUGAAACAUACAAAGGGGUCUCUCCAGCUGAAUUUUGCUUUAUCAACAGCUCUUCCAAUUCUUCCUUUCCCGUUUUAUCGAUAAUCUCUCUUAUUUCAACAAGAUUUCCUGCUCUAGCCAAUGAAUGCAAGACAGUGUCCUCACGUUUCCCCGUUAACUGUUUCUUCAUCGUUUUCGAGGGCAUAGAUGCCUCCAUAUUCCUCUAUACAAUUUCUCCAAAAAUCCACCCUUUGGCCUAAAAAUGCUAAUCGUUAACCAAAAUCAUUUUCUUCUUUCCCUCAAACACCCAGAUCAGCAAUAGCAUUCUCAACACUAAGAGAGAUUCAGAAACCAAAAGAUGAAAUUUUUAUCAACCUGAAGCACCUUAUGACAAUCAUAUACUGUUGGAUUCUUCAAAAGGCAUAAUCUUGAAUUUCAUUCCCACCUUCUAUUUCAGGUUUUUGCAGAAAUCAGUGCCCUGCUAACAACAACAACAAAUUCUUGAUUAUGUUUUUCCAUAAGAAGAACAUCAUUCAUUAAAAUUAUCACUCUUUACCCUUUAGCUAAUCAUCAUUCUACAGUAGCCACAAUUAGAGGAAACUGAACAUCUGCUCUCUAUUUGUUUUAUACUCCUAUAUAGCUAAUUAUUCCUAUUGUCUUGUCCAGUUGUCCUUCUUCUUUAAUGCAUUACACCUAAAAAGAAUGUCAUUUACAUAAAGCAAAAGACAAUAACAUGUACCUGGAUAUGAAGAAACUUCCACAGUAUAAAGAGGUGUAUAUGAUGAAAAUAACCUGUUUAUUGGUUAUCAGAGAUGGAAGAAAAGCUCUAGAGUUUUUCGGUUGAUAUUAUUUGAACAAGUUGAGAAAAAAGGCACAAAUAGUAGAACAUUAAAGUCACAUGUAUGCAAAUGCAACACACAAACUUGUAUGUUAAUAUAAUAUGGGAGACACAACUCUGAAGAACCAAAAGGAUGCCACUUUUGUAAAGUUAGUGAUGAUGAAGAUGAAUGGUGAUGGAUUGAAACUUUAUAUAUUGAGAAUCAAAACUUAAAAUUGUGCUUAAUUACGUGGAUAAUCCCUUUAGUUAUAAUUUUCUAUAGUACAUAAUUUUUUCCUUUAUUUUACAAUUUCAUCAACUGGACUUGUUCUUUUAAUAUGAAUCGACCAACUUAAACUCUAAAUAAUAAUUGUGCAAGAUCGAAUAACUAUGAAAAUGAUCAAAGUUUAAUCUAUUUUAAACAAAAAUUAGUUAUUUUAAACUCAAAUUAGUUAUUUUACGCAGCAACUAGAUUGGUUACUAAAACCUUAGAAUGUAGAUUUUGUCAUAUACUGUUAUUGAAAGAAAACUAGGUAGAGUUUCCGUAUAUGGUGGUUAUUUUGUAAGUAACUUAAGAUAAAACAGUAAAGAACAAAAAACCUAAUGGCGCUGGUGAUUGGGGGUAGAACCAAAGCCACAACCGUCAUUAUUAUUAUUAUUAUUAUUUUUUCCCAGAGAAAUGACCCUUUUACACAUUUUUAUUUUUACUUUUAGUUUUCACGAUUAACAACAAAGUAGAGAAAGUUAUGAGUACUGUAAAUCGAAACUGUACAUUUGGAACAAAAUGAACGUAAAACAAUCUUUUAUGGCAAUGCAAGACGACUACGUGCUUGAUUAAUUUUAUCUUCUCUCGAAUAAUUCAUUUAUCAAUUGUGAAUGAUAUUCACUAAUAAUACAAAUUUCAUCAUCCUAAAUUCCUAAUCAUGUCCAAAAGUAGCCAACUCGGAUGUUACUUAUUCAGUUUUUCCCAAAAAAUAAAAUAAAAAAUAAUUAAUUUCUUUGUUUAANNNNNNNNNNNNNNNNNNNNNNNNNUUGGACUUCAUGCAGAGAAACAUCCUAAAGCAGAGAGCAUAUCCAUCUCAAAUCUCAUUAAUUUGUUUAUAUUAUGGAACUUGGAUAGCGAGGCGCCUUUGAGGAUUUUCUCAACAUUAAUUUAGCAGGUAAUAUUUUUUUAAUAGUUUAUUGUGAUAAUUGUCUCUCAAAUCAAUAAUCGAAGUAUUAUUUAUAUAAAAAUAGAUAUGUCAAUUAUCACUUAUAAUUGCUAAUAAUCUAAUAAAUUUAAAAAUUCCGAAUAAACCUUACCUAGUACUAAACUUGAUAUUAAAUUGAAGAGUUGAAGAAGUAGAUUUUAAUAAAGUAAAGUCUUAGCUAAGAGUGAUUGCUUUCAUUUAUUAGUGAUUGUGAUAAACUCAGCAGUUAAUCAAAAUAAAAAUAAAAUAACAAGGAAUUAAAGAAAUAAAAAAACUUCUAAUAUCGGAUGAUGAAUGUUCAAAUCAACUCAUAAUUUUGGGGACAUCAAAAGCAAGAAAAUGUUUGUUUUCCUUAGUGAUGAAGACUUGGAUUGGGCAAAGUGGGAUGAAAAAAUGGGAAUACCCCACAGAAUCAAACUUUAAAGUUAGUCUUUUGUUUAAAGGGGUAUUUAGAAAGGGCUAAGGGGGGGCAUGUGGGCAUUCUGUAAUCCACCCCUUUUCAUUUUUUAAUUAGAGAAAAGUGGGCAAGAAUUCAUCUCAUCACCUAAUAUAUUAUUCAUUUGAAUAUAUAUAGAUUCGUAUAUCUAUGAUUUGAGAUUUAUUAGCAUAAAGACAAUUCUCUGAAAUCUCCUUUAGAUCAUCUAGAAACCCACGUAGGGGAACAUGCAUUAGCAAGAGCUUACGCAUAAUUUGCAUAUAUAAGUGAUGUUCGUCUUUAUUAUCUUAUUUAUCUCGUGUUGUGUUAUUUUCAAAGGAUUUCAAUGUAAUAUGUAUAUAUACACAAAGAAACUGUUUUUUUCUUUUUUUGGCGAAACGGUAUCAGAUACUAAAGAGUGUCUCUAGUGAGUGAUCAAAGGAAGAACAUCACACGAAGAGAAGAGUGGAAGAUAAGAAGGAAAUAAGUAACAUGAUUAGCACAACAAUUAGAAUAAAUCACCCGACAAUUACUGAAAACCUUCGAAUAUAACAAUUAAAUAAAAUGAAUAGAUUAUAAGCUCCCGAUUUCUCCUAAUUCUAACAAGCAUAUAUAGUACAAAAAGGAAGAAAAAUAGGCAUAAUUCUAUUUCUUUCUGAAACGGCUGAAACUAACAAGUAACAACCAUGACCCAUAAUAAAUCCAUAUACAUGAAGAUCAGUUAUAGGAUCUGAACCAUUUUUAUUAUAAACAAUAACAAGAGUGGUGAGUAGCUAGCUGAUUCAGAUUCUCAUUGACCUUACACUGAUAAAUUACGAGUUCAAGUUUUGUGAACUAAUGAUGUUUCAAAUUGACAUAUAACAAAAGUAACUAAUUUUAGCAAAUCUAAUAUGACAACCAGACAAAUAAAGUAUAAUCUGUUAUUAUCGAUUAAGUUCUACCGAUAUUGUCUAUGAAUAUAACUUAAAUUCAUAAUUUUAUUCAUUAAAAUUUGGAUUUUAAUAUUUAUGAUUUGAGAUUAAUUUGCGUAAAAGACACUUCUCUGAGAUCUCCUUUAGGUCAUGUAGAAACUUACGCAGGGGAACAUGUAUCAGAAGAAUAUCUGAAGCAAAGAGUGGAAGAUAAGAAGGACGAACAUCACUGUUCCAAUUAACAUGAUUAGCACAGCAAUUAGAAUAAAUCACCCGACAAUUACUGAAAACCUUCUGAUAUAACAAUUAAAUAAAAUCAAUAGAUUAUAAGCGUCUGAUUCCUCUUAAUCCUAACAAGCAGAUAUAGUACAAGAAGGGAAGAAAAAAAUUUGUAGUUUUAUUUCGUUCUUAAACGGUGGAAACUAACGGCCAUGAGCCAUAAUUUUAGAAUAAUUUUAGAAUCUGAAUGAUUUACAUGUUUACACAAUAACAUGUGAGUAGCUGCUGAUUAAGAUAUAUGCUCAUUGACCUUGCACUUUCUAAUCAUGUAUGUUCUUUAGACGCUCUUUGGCAUCGUAUUCUUUUUUCAGUUUUGUUUUUGUUUUUGGUUUUGUUUUUGUAACAGUGGCGUUCAAGUCAGUUUUUGUGCAUUAUUUCAGCAAACAUGAUGUUGUUUCACUCUUAAGAUGCAAAAAUGGAUUACGACUUUCCUAUUAAGCGAAAGCUAAUUGAUAAGAGAAUUAAAAAGCUCUUUCAGGAGUAUGGAAUGUGUUAGCAACAACAAUUUAUACUAGGGAUUUUUUCGUUCCUAUACACUAUUUGAAACCUUAUUACCAAAAAUGUCCAAGUUUAGGUAUUUACCCGACCUAAACGCGUUUUAGCUACAAAAAAUAUACAUUUGUUUAAACUAGACUCCUUUAUGCGAUAGUCUUCCUUAUUUAAACGCGAAAUUUUGGGAUCGCUUAUAUUUCAAUUAGAGAUUUUACUGACGCAAUCAUCGCACCAUAAUCAAGGCAACAUAUUUGUAGAAUCCUUCUAUUACGCAGAUUUUUUCUCAUUAUCAUCGCACCAUAAUCAAGGCAACAUAUAUGUAGUAUCCUUCUAUUCUCUGGUUUUCCAUAAACAAAGGUUUUGAAGAAAACAAUUGCAAACAAUUAGCUACAAUUGAAUCGAAUUUCGCGACAUAAUGUCAAAAUUAGCGAUUAUACUUAAGCUCAAUGGUCGGUGGGAUAACGUUGGGAGAUACAAAGAUUUUGAUGUUAAUGGAAUUGUAGUCAAUGAAGAAUCAAAUUAUAGUCAAUUGAAUUCCGCAAUUGCAGAGCAUCUAAUGAUCGAUACCUCCGCAAAAACCGUCGAAAUCAAAUACACUGUCAACGAACGUUGUCCUCCAAUGAAAAUUCGGAAGGAUAUGGGAGUUCGAGUAUAUAUGGAGACGAAAAAGGAAAACAAAAACUUAGGAAUGUAUCUGCUGUAUAUAACAGUGCAUGAUUUCGAUUUGGAAUGCAGUAUGUCAAAUGCGAGCACAAUUGCAGGUUUGCUCUGUUUUUUCAGUGCUGAUGUUUUUCAAUUUCAAGUGUUCUACAAUUUUCCUACAAAUUAUCUACAAUAAUACUAUAUAACAAAUGUAGUUCAACUGUUAUGUCUCUACAAGUAUUCUGUCAAAUACCGAACACAUGAAUAUAUAGAUGUCUGAAUUACUAUAUUUUUAAUUGAGUGCAGGUUCAUCUGAUUAUCGUAAUACUAACGUGGUACAAUUGCCAAGCAAUUGUAACACAAUUGGAGAAGUAUCAGGAACAGUGAAGUUGAUUGAUAUGCAAAAAUUUCCAGCAAUUGUUGAAUAUGAAAGUAUCAUCAUAACAGAACAUACGCCAAAUGUAAUUGAAGUAGGCCAAGUUUACCAAGACAAGCAAAUAAUUGUCAGUACAAUAAAGCACUAUUCUGUCAUGAAUAAGUUUCAAUUUAGGGUGAAAAGGUCUAGUGCAAGAAGGUAGGAAUAUUUUAAUUGUCAAAUUCAUAUUGUGUAUAAGUUGUAGUUGUUUUGUAUAUAAAUUAUUUAAGACAAGUUGUUGUGCAUAAAUAGCCUCGUAUUCUGUAGAUACAAUUUGCAUAACAUUUUUUGAAUUGUUUUUAUUCUGUAGAUACUGCCUCAUAUGUGUUGGGGACAAUUGUACGUGGCACUUCAAGUCCACCAGCAUAAAUGAAUAAACAUUGUUCAAGGUUCGAAAAUUCAACAACUUGCACACAUGCUCUUUGAUGGACAACACAUAUAUACAAUGCAAACCUACUGCCAUGGUAGUUGGUAGCAUGAUGAUGCCAAAAUAUGCGGAUCCUAAGACAAUAUACACACCAAAAGACAUAGAAACUGACAUGUUGUCGGAUCAUAGUAUGAACUUAACAUACAUACAAGCUUGGAGAGCAAAGGAAAAUGCUUUGGAAUUUUUGAGAGGUCAUUCUGCUGAUUCCUACAGUCGCUUGCCGAGUUAUUUGUAUAUUCUGGAGAAGACUUAUCAGAGGUUGAUAGUGAAAUUGCAGAAGACUGAAGAUGACAGUUUCUUGUAUACAUUUGUUUCACUUAGUACGUGUAUCAAGGGUUGGGAGCAUUGCAGGCCGGUUGUAGUAGUUGAUGGCACCUUCUUGAAGUCAGCAUAUAGGGGAGUCAUGCAAACAGCUAGCACAAUGGAUGCAACAUGUAAUGUAGAUUAAUUAUAAAAAUAUUGUUAUAAAGUUAUUUUUGAGACUGUAAUUUUUUCUAUUUUCAAGUUUCAUUACAGAAAUUGAUUUUCUUUUUGCUACCUAUGUGAUAGGUAGCAUAUUAUCACUAGCAUAGCCGUUGUUGAUUCAGAAAAUAACGCAUCAUGGAGGUUGUUUUUUGAGCAAUUCAAACAUGCAUAUGGUGAAAAAUCAAAUAUGUGUGUUGUUUCGGAUCGGAAUGAGAGUAUCUUGAAGGCAACUGUCACGACCCAAAUACCUAACCAGUCGUGAUGGUACCGAUCGUAGAAUUAGGCAAGCCGACACUCUCAAUAUGCUUUCAAUAUAUAACAGAACUGAGCUAGCAAUUAAACUAACUGAAGGUUUACAUAAUAAUGGGGUAAAAACCCAAAACACAAGUGCGAAAUGAUAGCCCGACAUCGGGGUGUCACUAAGUCAUGAGCAUCUAACAACCAAUCUAGAAACAGAGUCUACUACAGUCUGUGCCAAAUGCCAAUGCAAGAGAGAAAAGAUAAUUUGAAAGGAGAAACAAGGACUGCGGACACCGGCAACUACCUCGUAAGUCUCCAAUAAUCAGCUCGCACACGAACUCAGCGACCGCCAGGCCCGUACACACCUGGAUCUGCACAUGAAGUCAGGGUGUAGCAUGAGUACAACCAAUUCAGAAAGUAACAGAACUAAAUAAGGAACUGAGAAGCAGUGACGAGCUAUAAAAAUACAGAUCAUUUCAAAAGUUUUCAGUAAAGAGUGAACAUGCUUUCAAAUCCGGUGGUAUAAGUCAAAUCAGUUCGAGCUCAAGUAAAACAGAUAUGAAUCUUCUAGAAUUUUCACAACAACAAAAGAUAACAACUAAGUGCAACAAUAAAUAAAAGCAAGUACAACCUCUCAAGGCAGCAGUCACUCAACUCAUCUCAACAGCUUAUACUCUCGGCUCUCAGCCCUCAAUACACGCUCUUAAUAGGUACCUGCGCUCACUGGGGGUGUACAAACUUCGGAGGGGCUCCUUCAGCCCAAGCGCUAUAUUGCUGCGGCGUGCAUNNNNNNNNNNNNNNNNNNNNNAGUCCGUCUGUUCUCUGUUCUGUUUAAGGAAUUUUUCUUUCUUUCCUUUUAUUCUAUUUUGAUGUUUUAAACGUCUGUUUAUUUGUUUUGUAUUGUUAUAUUAAUUUUUUUUUAUUUUUGUCGAUUGUUCUGUUCUUCUCCCUCAAACCUUUCUAUUUUUUCGAAUUUGUUUCUGCUCGUUGUUGUGAAUAAUUAUAGGCUGUGUAAUCGAUUCGAAUAAGUUUCGUCGAUUAGUUAAGUUUUAUUAUAAAUACUUGUUCUUGUCAAUGCCGCUUGAAUUGCCUUAUUAUCUAUUUUCUGAUUGAUUGUUAUCAAUUGUUGUAGGCAAUCAGUUAAUUAGUUUUCGUCGAUUAAUUCGUUCUUGUUUAUAGACCAAUAAGUUCGUCAAAUGGUUGUUGUGUGUGCUGAUCUGUGGACACUUAGCUUCAGGGUUCAAUGUCAUUAUACUGACAGUGAUCCGGUAUUUUGGAUAGGUUUAACUUAGAAUUGUGUUAACUUAAUCCCCAUAUCAAGUUUCAGCUUCAAUGAUGCUGUUGGGUUCUGUGUGAUGUUAAUAUAAUUUUGAUUCAAUUUUCAGUUUCAGCUUUAAGGAUUCUGUUGAGUUCUGUGCUGUGUUAUGAUUGGUUUUGAUUUAAUUUCAGUUCAUUUGUUUCAAUUGAGAUUUAACCUUAGUCAUUCAGUUAUCAGAAGUAAGUUGGUUAUAACUGUUAAUCAGAAUUAGUUUUAGAUAAUUGAUAGCUUGAACAGAUUUUAGAGUCAAAAGUUUUAAUGCAGAUGAAUAGAUUGUAUUGGGGCAGUAAUAUUAAGGGGUUUUAGGGGUGAUUUGGGAAUGGAACAGUUAGGGUAAUAUUUUAGUGUUAGUGACUUGUUAGUGGGAUAUUAAAUGUCUUUAAAUUAAUAAGGUAAUGGGGAACAAGAGGGAAUGGGGGCUGAAAAUAAGGAAAAAGCUUUCCUUAGUAGGUUUUAAGUGGAAUAAUGCAGACUUUUAGUGGGGAAGGGGGUCGGGCAGCUAAGUUUGAAAGAGAGGGCAGGUCUGGAUGGCUAUAUAAGAGAGAAGGAUUAGGACUAAAAGGGAGGAUUGAUUUUUGGAGAGCUUGGGGGAGUUGAAAAAUAAUAGCUACUGUUUCAUUGCCUCGCUUAGGAUCUAAAAUAGUUAGAACCUUUCUUCCUUUUACUUCUGCUCUAUACUUGGAGUCGUUUAUAGCUGCUGGUUAUUUGUUGUUGCACUGCUGUUGCAACUGUUGUUCGUUACUACUGCUGCUGCUGAUCCUCUUCUUCCUUUUCUUGUAUUGUCAAUACCAGGUACAUGCUUCGAAUUCCCUUGAUGUAAGUUCAACCUUGGAGUGAAAAAUGUAGUUUUAUGCCAGAGUUGAGUUCAUUUGAAUACUUGUAGUUAUAGUUCGUUAAAGGUUGUACUUAUUUAGUUUUUUUAACUAGUUGGCUUGUUGACAUGAUAUGGACUGCACGGAUUUGAACUAGGACUGUUUAUAUUACAUGAAUAAUAGACGACUGUAUAAUUAGGACUAUUUAUAAGUUGUUUGGGCUGCUUGAUUCCGGGACUGUUUGGAUUUUGGAAUAUGAUUAUGUAAUAGUCAUAUUGGUUUAGUGUUGUUUUGUAGUAUAAUUUUGAAAUAAGAAGCAAGCUGCAAGCUGAAACAGGAAAGUAUUUUUCGAAUUCAUGUAUUUCGCCUGCACUAAUAAAAUUGAGCUGAAAUCAGCAAGUAUGGGUUUAAAUGUGGUUAUUGAUUAAGAGUGCAUCCGUUAUUCAUAUUUUGUUAAGAAUUAAACUUGUAUCUAUGUAUUCUCGUAAAAUUCCCUUUUUUAUAUAUAUAUUUUAUAAUGCGUAUAUUUAUGUAAGUUUUAGACUAUUGUCAUUAGUGAGUUUAGACAAGUUUUAGACAAUAUUUUGUAAUGCGUAAACUUGUAUCGUUGUAGUUUAGACAAGUAAUAUAUUUUAGUUGUAAUAAUAAUGUUAUGGUACACGUUUUCAAUCUUAUAGUAAUAGACAAUGGUCAAUAGUUAACACGAGAUUGAAAAUUAAUGGUAAUGUGUUAUUAAGCUAAUAAUUGUAACCAUUGUUAAUUAGUUAACUGAUUAGGAAAGUUGUGCUUGGAUUUGGAGAUGAAAGCCGGCUGUCCCACGGGUAGGCCUUGGAGGCCCGAUACAGAUUAAUUAUAAGUUUCUUUCUUAAAGGGAAAGUAGCUCUUAAAACAAAUUAAUUAGGACUUCUUUUAAACUACAGAGACAAUAAAAAUAGCAAAUUAUAGUUGCUUUAAGCUUGCUUUUUUUAAAAAAAAAUAAAAAAAGAGACGAGCCUUGCCAAAUAAAACGCACAAGCUGCAGGGCCCUCAAUAAAGGAAUAUCAUGAAUACAUAGAAUUCGGGAUGGGCCGUUUAGCAGAUUUCACGGCUUUCCCCAAAGUAAUAACGCGUUAGUCACUGUUAGGCGCGCCUUUAAUGAUUUACUUUCUUAAACUCGGGUGCACAUUUAUGUGACACAAAUCCGAAUCUCAACGGAGUCGAAAUGUGUCGAUAACCACGGGUACAUUGAUGUGACGGGGAUCGAGAUACGUUUUCACAACGUUGCAAUUCUUUGUUAAAAUAAUAAUGAUAAUAAUAAAAACGGUUUAAGUUAAAAUUUGCACAUAGGUUCAUAAUUGUAUAAAAAUCAAAUAAUUAAGCCGAAUAUGACAGUUGAGCGACCGUGCUAGAACCACGAAACUCGGGAAUUCCUAACACCUUCUCCCGGGUUAACAAAAUUCCUUAUCCAAAUUUCUGGUGCCCAGACUGUUAAACAGAGUUAAUCUUUUCCUCGAUUCGGUAUCCAACCUGUGACUUGGGACACCAUAAAUCUCCCAAGUGACGACUCUGAAUUAAAUAAUAAAUCCUGUUUCGAUUGUCCUUUAAUUGGAAAAACUCCUUUUGCGGUGGCGUGGGCGAAAAGGAGCUGUGACAGGGCUUGGGUAGAGGAUUGGAGGGGAAUUGGGCUAGGGGUUAAGUGGAAAGGAUUUAUUCAAGUUUCCUCCCCCCUCCCCCCCUCCCCCUUUUAAAAAAAUCCGUUUUUCCUCUUUGUUUUUCUUUUCACUCUUUUUAAUGAAUGGAAUCCUAAAAUUAAAAUCCUAAAUUAUCUAAAUUAAAAAAAAUAAAAGUUACUUAAUUAAAAGAGAAAAUCAAUAAUCUAGAAAUUAAAAGGUAAAAAAAAUGCAACAUGAGCUAUUUUGUGAUUUUUUUACUUUUGUAAAACAACUAAAUUACUAAUUAAUCCAAAAAUGCGAAAUUAAAUCCUAAAUGCGAAUGCAAUGUAUUUUUUGGCUUUUCAUGAUUUUUAAUAAAAAUAAACAUGAACAGAAAAAUGCAAAUAAUUAGUACAAAUUUCCACAAAAUCCUAUAAAUAUGGAUAAAAUUAUUUUUCUUGUAUUUAUGGGAGUAAUUCCUAUAGGGCAAAAAUCACGUGCUCACAAUAGUGAUGUUGUACAAAACACUCCUUGACUUUUAUAUACUUUAAACUAGACAGAUAGAACCGGUUUUGAACUAGGUGUAAUAAGCAUUAACUUAGUUUAAUUUGUUAGUUCUAUUGAACUUUAAUUUGUUGGUUUUAAUGUAUUUUUUGAAUUGUGUUGUUGUUGUUGUGGUGGUGGUGGUGGUGGUGGUGUUAUUGUUGUGGUGUUGUUGUGGUGGUGGUGUUGUUGGGUUGUUGUGGAGAUUUUGGUAUUGAAAUUGUAGUUUAUGAAUAGAUUAUAUUGUUAUUUAGGGAAUUUGGUAUGUUGGUAGGUGGUGUAGCUGUCAAAACAGGCAGUUUCUGCCCAAAUUAUACCCAGAAAAGCGACCAACUUUGAUCGCUAUUUUUCAGAUUUUAAAAUAUAAUAUUUGGUUUACAAACCAAAGUUGGUCGUUAUAUUUUGAAUAAUAAUAAAUAAAAAAAACGUAAUUUAAAAAUAGAGACCAACUUUGAUCGCUAAAUUUAUAUUAUUAAAAUAUUAAAGCAACCAAAGUUGGUCGGUAUAUUGUUUACCCGGAAUAUUUGGUCCUUUUACCUUAGAGACCAAAGUUGGUCGCUAAUUGGUUAGCGACCAACUUUGGUCUCUAAGUUAAAGCGACCAACAAAGUUUGGAUGCUUUUUGGUCGCUUUGUGGCUUGUAAGCGACCAACUUUGGUUACUUUUUGUGGUCAUUUUUUUUCGGAUUUCUAGUAGUGCUUGUAGCACUUGUAGUGUUAUAACUUUUUCUUAGUAGUUUAUUAUAUUUUUUCUAGUUUAAAAUAUUAGUGUAGUAUUUUUAAUUUUAGAUUAACUUUAAAAAGAAAAGAAGAACCAAUGCAAAAAUGCCACUUGGCAAAAAUUCCUUUCUAACUAACUCAUAUGCACUCACUAUCACAUUCUCUUAUUAGAAAUUUACCGUCUCUUCUAAAGACUUCUAGUGUGGCCCACAUAUAAUAAGAUAAUAAAUUAUUUACUUUGUCUCCCAAAGGAAAUAAUAUAUUAGAUAAUUGUAACGAUCCGACCGGUCGUUUUGAGCCCUAGCGCGUCGUUCGACAUUUUGAGGCCAUGAGCAGCUUCACUUCUAGUAUUAUGACUGAUACGCGUGAUCAGAAUUGAAUUUUGGGAAGUUCGGAGUUGAUUUGGGGAAAAAUUCUCAUUUCGGAAGCUUUAAGUUGGAAGAAUUGACUAAGGUUGGAUUUUUGAGUAAAUGACCUAGUAAUCGGGAUUUGAAGGUUCCAUUAGGUUCGUAUGAUGAUUUUAGACUUGGACGUAUGUCCGGAUCAGGUUUUGAAUGAACCGAGAGCGUUUCGGCGCCUAUUGUGGGAGUUGGUAUUUUUGAAUGCAAACUAAAUCGAAAGCUAAUGGAAGGCCGGAGGACCUAGCCCACUAAACUAAAGACUCGCUUGAUCACUGGAAUCAAAGCCAACAUAAGGAUGGGAGGGCAAACGUUUGGAAGAAUUUAAUAAAUUUGGAUUGAAGUGUAUUUCAAUUCUAUCGAUGUUUGUUUGGGAUUCAGAGUCUGGGAAUAGCUCCGUAUGGUGAUACUGGUCUUACGAGCGCGUAUAGAAGUGGAUUUGGUGGUCCGUAGGUUAUUUCAGAGUCAUUUGGCGAAAGUUAUAAAUUUGAAGGUUUUUGAGAAGAUUGAUCGGGAGUAAACUUUUUAAUAUCGGGAUCGAAUUCUGAUUCCGGAAGUCGAAGUAGGUCCGUAAUGUUGAAUGUGACUUGUGUGCAAAACUUGAGGUCAAUCGGACGUGAUUUGAUAGGUUUGGGCAUCGAAUAUAGAAGUUUGAAGUUCUAAAGUUCAUUAAGCUUGAAUUGAGUUGCGAUUCGUGAUUUCGAUGUUGUUUGAUGUGAUUUGAAGGCUUGACUUAGUUCGUAAUGUGUUUUGGGAUGUGUUGGUAUAAUUGGUUAAGGUCCCAAGGGCCUCUGGUAGAUUUCGGAUGGUAAACUGAUCGAGUUUGGACUUGGACGAAUUCUGGAGCUGCUGCUAUCUGGUGUAACCGUACCUGCGAGGUUUUGGCCAUAGGUGUGGAGACGCAAAAGCGGCCAUGAGGGUCGCAUAAGCGAUGCUGGGCGAGCUGGGCAGGAGCGCAGAUGUGAGGGCAUGUCUGUCGCGCCCCCUUUUUCUCGCGAAAUCGGGUUUUGACAUUUUUGGGACAACACCUUUCCUUUUGGAAUUGGGUAAGGGAUUUGAAGAGUCGCCACCUAACGGAUUAAGGUGCGUUAGGGCACCUAAAACAGUUAACUAAUACAACCAAUUUACGUCACCAGAGAACGGGUAAGGGCUUACCUUGAGGGGAAGGUGAUAGGCACCCCUCAAGGUCCACCACGGUGGGUCCCGACCGAACUAAAUUAAGCGAAUUAGUCUUUGAAAGAAAGUUAAACAAUUUAAAACAAAUGGAUAAUUACUUUAAAACAAGAAUUAAAGAGGUCCUACGUUUUUUAGACUAUAAGAUCAUUUCCAUGCAAUACUUGGUAACUUUCCCCAAGUAGGGGUGCUACACAUAGCGUUAACGCACAUGUCAUCAUUUCCUUUACUACCCGAUUACUAUCUUUCAGUUGUUACCUAAGCGUUCUAAUAGCUUCUAAUGCGUACUUUAUGUGUGCACUACCCGUCCUUUACUUAUGAUUCUAGAGGUAUUUAGGAUCUCUAUUUUGGAUAGUUCUAGACUGACCUACAUUGUUUAAAGUGAGAAAAAGCUAGGCGACAAACAAAAUUCAAAUAGGACUAUCAUGUAAGGAGCAAACAAGGGCUCAUAUUAACCUCCACAAAUAGACAACAAAUGCACGCAGUUAAAUCAACAUGUUUCUUUAAUUAAGGAUCCUGUAGACAGGGUAUCUAGAUAAGCAGAAAUAGAAUGCAGAACAACAGUUUACUAAGGCGGGCAUCUGGACCUAUCAGUUUUGCCUACUGAUUUUAUUAAUACUCUGUAUCUGGGCACGUUUUCAAAUGGCAAGAAAUCACAAUUUUAGUCCUAGAAUUCUUUAAUUACCCUAUCAGUUUGCAUAAGUAAUAACCGGGCAGAAUCCUAUAAAUAUGGUAUCUAAACUGUUAAUUAAGGACUACAGUUUAUAAACGGGUCACUGAUUUUAAUAGGUAGAUUUUAUCCUUUAAAUCCUACAGGCAUGCUUUCUAAUUUACAGAAUUAAUUACCCCUAUAGGUAUUAUUUCUAAGUGUUGAAACUGAUAGUUAGUGUUAUUUCCUAUAGACAUGAUAUCUAAGUGCAAAACUGAUUUUAUGUUUAUUUCCUAUAGGCAUGAUAUCUAAGUGUAGAGCGAAUUUUUUUAUUUGUUUCCUAUAGGCAUGAUAUCUAAAUGGGCAGAGACGUUAACAGAAUGUCAUACAAACUUAGUAACUUGCACAAGUACGUGAUCUCUAAUGCAUAUUGAGAUUUGAAAAUAUGCGUGAAACAUGAGUUCUUGAUGCAGAAUUGAUAAAACAACCGAUAAACAGGAUUCUAGGAUGCCAAGUAUGAACUCCAGAUUUCAAGCGCUGAGACAAGAUCCUAUAAGCAUGAUUUCUAAUAGUAUGCACACGAAGAAUCAUCACAACAACCUACAGAUAUGGUUUCUACCCGAUCAUGAUAAAGAUAUAUAAAAAUCCCUCCCCAACUUUUACUAAUAACCCCAUAUUUGUUUUAUAAGGAUUAUUACAUCAUUACAGACCAAUAUGAAUGAAUUACACAAAGCUAUUCAUUACACUAUAGGGAGCCUUAGCAGGCCCAAUAUCAACCUAGAAACCAGACUUUCAAGCAAGCAAAUAUGAUGUACACAGGUAGUCCAUCCAUAAUGCAUAAAUGGGCUUUUGAUGUUGUGGACUAUGAAGAUGUGGCCAAAGUUAGCUAGAUGGUGAUAUAUGUUAUGAUUAGAUCAUUGAGGACUUUGGUGGGUUAUUUAUCUAUUUAUGGAUGACCAGAGUUGAUUCGGGGCCAAUUGGUAGGCCUGUUGAGGAUGUGUAUCCUACACGGGGUCGGAUUUGUUGACUCACCACAGUUAGUGUUUGAGGGGUGAGUCAGUCGGUUAGAGUUGAGCUUAUUCGUGUUCUGAUAUGUUCUAUGAGUUACUCUUCUAUGCUAUAUGCACACAUGUUGCGGUUCUAUUUGGGCUUUAUAGCAGAAUUUGAACGAGAUGGGUAUUAGGGUGUUGAAUAACUGAUUGCACAUUUGGUGAUGUUCUUUCCGGUCGGUGGUAUUGUGUUAUUGGUUCCUCCGUGGUUAUGGUCAUGCACCUUGGGUACUGGAUGUUGAAUUGCGCGUGGUCAUUGAUUUUAAGCAUUUUGUCUGGAGGUAUUUCAUAUAGACCAGUUUUUGGAUUGGGUCACGCAUUGCAGAUGGGGUAUGUCCGGAUAUGAUCCUUUGUGAUUGAUUCAUGUGUUUUGGUUCUACGGUGUGUGAGGGGUUCUUAGCAUUGCGUUCUGGUGGUACUUGUUGAGCUUGUAGUAUGGUUCUCUCAUUUGAGUCAUUUUCUAUGUUUGACUACACUUAAAUUGUUGCGUAUUGGUGCACAAAUUGCACGAUUUGUGGCUUAAGGUUUUAUUGGUGUGGCAUGUCAGUAGGGUGGUUGUAUUUGAUAAGAUGACGUCAUUGGACCUAGAAUGAGUGCUAUCGGAUUUGAUUAAAGUGUGUUUGGAGGAAUAAUAUCGGGAGUCAGCUUGGGAUUUGGCUUUGGUUCUGAUUGGACGAGAGAGGGUUCCAUGACUUGUUGGUCUGAUGAGUAGUUAUUAGUUUCUACGUGUUUCUUUCAUCAUUGUCAGUGUACGAAGGUUUUAGAACGAGGUUUUGUUUGAUAUGAGAUUCAUUAUAGGUAUUGGUGUGUUUUUAGCAGCUGUUGUGGUCAAAAGGUAUAGUUGUAAGCAUCUGAGUUAUGUGGUACGUCAUGUGAUUACAUUAUUGGUUAUGGUUAUGGAUCGAUAUAGCUUGUUCAGACUUAAAUAAUGUGUAUAUGCGAGAUUCGGGUAUUGUAAGGAAUUUUGGAUGUGGAAAUUCGAUUCUAAGGUUGGAGUAAUGAUAUUCAGUUAUGUUGUGUUGUCAGGCUUAUAUGGAUUAAGGUGACGUGCGAUCACCCCUAGGUAUGUGCAUGGUAAGGUUACACGGCGGUUUGAUGGCCUUGGAACGAAUCUUGGCACGUUCAAGGACUAACGUAUGCUUAAGUGAGGGAGAAUGUAACGACCCGACCGGUCGUUUUGAGAAUUUUCACUUCGCUUGGUAGUUUGAGGACACGAGUAUCUUCGCAUGAUGUAUUAUGACUUAUGUGAAUCAUCGAUUUUGGUUUUCAAGUUGUUCGGAAUAGAUUUGGAAGAAUGAACUUUAUGAUUGAAGCUUUAAGUUGGAAGAGUUGACCAAGUUUGACAUUUGUGUAUUUAACCCCAGAUCGGAGUUUCGAGGGUUUCUUUAGGUCCGAAUGGUGAUAUUAGACUUGGGCGUAUGCCCGGAUUUGCAUUUGGAUGUUUCUUAAAGGUUCUAGCGUUAAUUGGCGAAAGUUGGCAAUUUGGAGUUUUGGAAUGUUCAUAAGUUUGACCGAAAGUUGACUUUGGUGAUAUCAGGUUUAGAUUUUAGUUUCGGAAGUUGGAAUAGAUUCUUUAUGUCAUUUGAAACUUGUGUGCAAAAUAUGAGGUCAUUCCGAGCUGAUUUGAUAUGGUUCGACACGAGUUUUGAAAGUUGAAAGUUCAAAAGUUUAUUAAGUUUGAUUUGAGGUACGAUUUGUGAUUUUUUAUGUUGUUUGAUGUGAUUUGAAGCUUCGAAUAAGUUUGUAUCGUGAUUUAAGACUUGUUGGUAUGAUUGAAUGGGGUCGUGAGGGCUCAGGUGUGUUUUGGAUCAUUGGUUGAGAAACUAGUUAAGUUAAAGAUUUGGAGUUUGACCAUGGUUAAUAUCGGGUCAUGAUGACCUCUUUUCGGUGUUUUGAGGGCGCGAGCAUGUUCGUAGCAUGUUUUAUGAUUGAAAUGUAUAUAUGGUUUAUAUAUGGUUUGCUAAAACGAAAAUCUUUCAUUUCUAAUUUUCUGGUGUAAAAUAACUAUGAAAAUGUCAUUUUUUAUCCCUUAAAUUUCCAGAUUUCAUUUAAAACUUCAAAUCAUCAUAUCUCCCUUAUUUUAAGGCCAAAUUGGGUGAUUCAAAAGCUUAACUUGACUCAAAUUUCAUAAGAAAUCCAUUAGAAGCAUCAAAAGCGAGUUUUAGGAUUAUUUGGCACACGAAACAAGGCAACACAACUGGGCAAAAAAAUAUUUAAUAUCGAGAGUUUGUUUAUUUGGUCAUAUUUUGGGUUGGAGAGCUCGGAUUUGGGCAAUUUUUUAGGCGAUUUUCACCGUAUGAAUUGGGUAAGUAUAUUUUUACUCGAUUUUGGUUAUAUUUCGUGAAUCUAAUUUCAUUUUUGGUAAUUGAAUUGUGAAUUUUAAAGAGAAAAUUGGGGGGGGGGGUUGUCCAAAGUUUCAUAGAGUGAAUUUUUGAAUUUUGAACAUCAAUUCGGAGUCGGAUUUGGGUGAAACUAGUAUGGUUGAACUCGUAAUUGAAUGUGUUAUCAGAUUUUGUAAGUUUUAUUGGGUUCUGAGGCACGGGCCAGGAUUUGACUUUUUGUCAAUUUCGGAAUUUUGAUUAAAGAUUUGACCUUUAUCGAUUGAGUUUGUUCCCUUUGAAAUUAUUUGAUAUAUUUGAGUUGCUUUUGGAUGGUUUAAAGCCGUUCAGAGGUCGGUACGCACAGGAUGGCAUUUUAGAGCAUCGUUUGGCUUGCUCGGUAAUGGAUUUGGCUUGUUCGAGGUAAGUAGCACUUCUAAACUUGAUGCUGAAGGUAUAAACCCCCGAAUUGCAUGUUAUGUGAUUAAUAUUGAGGUAACACGCAUGCUAGGUGACAGGCGUGUAGGUGUGCACCGUGUGAAUUGUGAUUUAGUCGAUUCCAUGGAACUGUGUAGCUAUCCUCUCUGUAUAUUUUUACUGUACUCUAUGUGUUAGAACAACUGAGCUGUAAUUCAUGCUAGAAAUCAUACUUAGACAUAUAUUGGUAUUAUUGGGACCCUCUGAGGUCAUUUCUGUUGUUGAAUUAUAUGUUUAAAUUGAAGUUUUGACUCAGUCAUCUUUAUUCAUUGCAUAUCAUAUCUCAGUCUCUGUUGCUCUUUAUUGAUACAUCAUAUCAUCAUUUUUAGGCUAGUUUCAUGACAUUGUGAGCCCGAGACACUGGAGAGUUUGAUAACUGAGUGAGGCCGAUGGCCUAAUUGUGAGUGAUAUUUAUAGGAUCGGGCUGCAUGCCGCAGCAUGCUUUAUUGACUUAUGCUUGGAUUUGGCUAAUUAUAGCGCUUGGGCAGAGGCAUCCCCAGUGAGCGAAAUUGAUUUAUAUUGCGAGAUGGAUCUUCCCCAGGCAUGGAUAUUGCCCGAAUCAUUUAUAUUGGGGAUGGAUCUUCCCCUAGGUUGAUUGGCCUUAUACACUACUAAGUGACUGACUGUCAGUUGAUAUAUAUAUAUUUAGGAUGGAUCUUCCCUGUGCUAGAUUGGCCAUAUACAGUAGUGAGUGACUAAGCAUGUCGAGUGAUUGAGCAUGAUGAGUGGAAAGUGUGAGACAAUGAGAUUGAGUAUUCUGAGAGUGUGAGUACAUGAGUUCAUCACUGAGAUACAUUGCAUUUGACAUGCAUACUUGAGAUAUAUGCAUAGAAAUGCAUUUCUUUCUGCUACUCGAUUUUGAUGACAUUCAUGAUUUCACAUGCAUAGUGACAUAUAGGCAUAAAGAUGUACUUUCUUCAUGCUAUCUGAAAAAUAGAACAUCAUAUUUAUUGUUGAAAAGUUUUGGAAAAAAUUACAAUUUUACAAUCCUACUCAUAUUUUGGUGAUUUCGGUAAAAGAAUUGGAUUUUCACUAAUAUACUUGAAAAGCAUGCCUAUAUUUCCAGAACUGUAAACGAGAUGAGCAUCUUGUAUCUGAGUAUGUUUCUUGUACCAUUAUUAUUAUGUUGUUAUGAUCUGUUGUUGUCUAUUGGUGUUAGACUCCGACCUCUGUUCCAGCUCGUCACUACUUUCAACCUAAGGUUAGGUUUGUUACUUAUUGAGUACAUGGGGUUGGUUGUACUCAUACUACACUUCUUCACCUUGCGUACAGAUGUUGGAUGCUGAUGUUGCUGUGUUUGACGAGAGCUAGAUUUGAAGAUGUACCUGCGCUCCGGUUAUAGCUGCCUCUUGUUCAUGGUAACUCUAGACUUAUGAAAGAUCUGUUCAUGUAUAUUUCAAACAAAUGAUGUACUUUAUUUCAUACCAGCUUUGUAAAUUCUAAAUCUUAGACGCUCAUGAUUUGUACUACCAGUCUUUGGGAAAUGUAUAAGAUUCAAAUAUUUUCUUUCACUUAAUUGUCUUAUUAAAUUUCAUUGGAAUUGGAUAGUUGUUAAUUGGCUUACCUAGCGGGUUGGUUUAGGUUCCAUCAUGACUAGUUGGAUUUUGGGUCGUGAUAGACGUAGAAACUUUAAAAAAUUUAUUUAGUUGGAAAACAUUUUUAUGUACCUAAAACCAAAAAGAUUACAAGUGGAAUGACCCAUAUCAUUAUCCUUUGGACACCUUUACAUGAUCAAUGAGGGACAAGUGUGCCCUCUAAUACCCACUCGCACGUGUGAUCGGGUUAUAGGAUUUACAUCCGAAUUUUUAUGAAUAUUUUAUUUAUUUUUUUCCUAUUUUAUUUUUCACGUUUUUAUUAUAAGAUUAUCAAGUAGGAAAAAAGAAGUUUCAACAGGAACAUGCAUAAAGUAGAGGGAGAUAAAUUAAGCUCUACAAGUUAAUGAGUGGGUUUUAAGCAAUAUUAUUAGUGACUCUGACGAGUUGAAUUGAGAGAGAAAGAAACUCAAAGUAGUUCCAUGGGCUAAGUUUAGAGAAAAACCCGAGAGUGAUAAAAGAUGAAGAGAGAAAGCUAUUAUACAAGAAUAAAGAAGAAUAUAUCGGCAUUGGAGUGAUUUGUGUGGCAAAAGAUGGAUGGUGCAACAAUAUGCUUCUAAAGAUUGAGAGUUACCUCCUGUAAUUUUUCUCUUGGAAAGACAUAUGCAUACUAUUUUUAGCAUAUAACAAGAAAAAAGUUAAAGAACUCAUAGGAAGAGGACAUAACUGCAAUAACCUAUUUUUUGGACUACAAUACCGUUUAUGCUAAUUUUUAAUAUUUGAGAUUUUAAAAUUAAUAAAAUUUUAUCUAUUAAAAUUCUUAUUAAAAAUAUGUAGGAAGGUUUAAUAAAAUCAAUUUCAUAAGAAUCCUCUGUAUUGCCAAUACCUUACCACUCCAUAAUAUCCAAUACCAAGAAAAAAUAAAAGUGAUAUUAAAUGGACUGCACAAAGAGUUAAAAUUAAGAAAAAAAAUACCCCCACAAUAAUAUAUUUUUAUAUUAUAUUUGAACUAUUUUUCUACUCAAAUAAUAUUUUUUAAAAUUAAUUUUUUGUGUAAUAUUAAAAAAUAUUAACUAAGAAAAUAUUUAAGAAUAUAAAUAUGUGAGAAAGAGAGAAAAAAUGGUUGGUAAGAGUCAAUACCACCAAUGAUUUUACAAACAUAAAGAUCUAAAAGUGAAAAUCUUUUACUCUUUGAAAAUAAAAUUUAUGAUUGAUAAAAUUAUAAUUAAGAUUAAAUUUUCUAAACAAGAAAUGAACUAAUAUUAAGACCGAAUCAAGACAGAAUAAAUAUUUUUUUAUGUUAAAACUAAAUAGUUAAAUCUUUUAACUAAUUAUUUAGCAAGAGAAUCCAAUUCAAUUAUUUUUUAAAUUCAUCAUAUGAGUAAAAUUCUUAUUCAAGUUAUAAAAAAAACUUAGGGUACAUAAAUUUAUUCUAUAAAAGAGCGUUAUAAUUUGGUUAGCUCCGUUGGGUGAUUUUGGACUCAGGAGCGCGUUCGGAUUAUGAUUUGGAGGUCCGUAGUAGAAUUUGGCUUGAAAUGACAAAAGUGAAAAUUUUGAAAAGUUUGACCGGGAGUGGACUCUUUGAUAUCGGGGUCGGAUUUCGAUUUCGGAAGUUGGAGCAGGUCCGUAAUGUCAAAUGUGACUUGUGUGCGAAAUUUGAGGUCAAUCGGACGUGAUUUGAUAGGUUUCAGCAUUGGUUGUGGAAGUUAAAGUUUCAAAGUUCAUUGAUUUUGAAUUGAGGUAUGAUUCGUAUUUUUAGCGUUCUUUGAUGUGAUUUGAGGCCUCCACUAAGUCUGUGAUAUGUUUUGAGACUUGUUGGUAUGCUUGGGCGGGGUCCCGAAGGGCUCGGGUGAGUUUCGUGGUGGUUUCAGACCAUUUUUAGUUGCUGCUUUUUGGCUUCAAUGGUGUACAGUGCGUUAGCAUAGAUCUCGCCGCGUUAGCAUAGAGAAAAUUUGGAAAAAUGGAGCUGUGCUAUGCGAUUGCGUAAGUCUUCCCGCGAUCGCAUAUAGUAAAAUAUCUGCUGCACUGACCCGACUUUGGAAGCUUAUAUCUCACAAUUUAUAAGGAUUUUGAAGAUGAUCCAAAAAAAUAAAAGUUGUAGCCCUUGAUUUCCAGUUUUCAGAAAGGUAAACCAAUUGUAAUUUGGAGUUUUGUACAAAAUGUUAUGAUUAUUAUACUAGAGGUUGUCCGGAAGAUUUGGAGAAGGCUGUUGGAAAAAUUUGUUCUACGCGAUCGCGGGGUGGUGGCCGCGAUCGCAUAGGGUAAAAGAAGGGCUGGAAAAUUGUGUGUUUGGCUAUCGCAUUAUUUUGUCCGCGACAGCAUAGGGUAAAUGCCUGGGCAGAUUAUAAAGUACUCUAUUUCGAGGGUUUCAGCCAUUUUUGCAUUUUUAGAGCUAUGGAGCUCGGAUUGAGGCAAUUGUUGAAGGGAUAUUCAGAGAAACGAUUGGGGUAAGUGUUCUUCACUUAUUUUUGGUUAAAUUUCAUGAUUGUAUCUUGAUUUUUAUCAUCUAAAUUGGGAAUUUGGGAUGAAAAUUGGGGGGGGGGGGGGAAAUGAAAGAGAAUUGGAGAGAUGAUUUUGGAGAUUUGAAUGGCCAUUUGAUGUCGGAUUUUGAUGAAUUUGGUAUGGGUAGACUCGUGAGUGAAUGAGUUUUCUAGUUUUGUAACUUUUGUCAGAUUCUGAGACGUGGGCUGAGGGCCGGGUUUAGUGGAUUUCGAGAUUUGUGCUUAAUUUGAUAGUUUUUCUUGUGGAAUUCAUUCCAUUAGCGCAUGUUGAUGGUAUUGUUAUGGUUGUGAAUAGAUUUGGAGCGAUUGGAGGCCGAGUCGAGAGGCAAGGGCAUUGCGGGUUAGAGUUUUAUCCGGUUUGAGGUAAGUAAUGAUUGUAAGUGUUGUCCUGAGGGUAUAAAACCCUGAAUUUCAUAUCGUUGUGCUACUUUGAUGUGACACACACGUUAGACGAUGAGCAUGGAGUCGUGUGCCGUUAGGGAUUAUGACUUGGUCCGUCCCGUAUGACUAUUAAGUCGCGUAUUUGAUUGAAAAUUAUUUGAUAUCAUUGUGUUUUGGAAAGUAUUCUAUGUUUUAGGCUGGAUGUCAUGUUUGAGCCUCGUGCCAACUAUUUUGGACCCUUAGGGGCUUUUUACUACUAUUCCUCACUGUUUUGACUUAUUAUAUGUACUCAGUCAUGCUGUAUUUUACUGAUUUCAUAACUCAGCCGUAUUUACUCUGUUUUGAUACUUUAAAUGCUAUUUUGGGCUGAGUUUCCUGUUUUACUGUUGCCCGAGUGGCUUGAGUGGUUUCUGACUGAGUGAGGUUGAGGGCCUGUGUUGUGAAGAUAUUAUGGGAUCGGGCUGCAUGCCGCAGAAAGUUGUUACUGAGGCCGAAGGCCUGAUUGAUUUAUGCCACAAGGUGGCUUGUUGUUAUGUGAGGCCCAUGGCCUGAUUGAUUUAUGCCACGAGGUGGCUUGUUGUUAUGUGAGGCCGGGGGCCUGAUUGAUUAUACCACGAGAUGGCUUGUUAUAGUGCUUGGGCUGUAGGAGCCCCUCCGGAGUCUGUACACUCUCAGUGAGCGUGGGUACCCAGUGUGAGUGAUGUGAAGUAGCCCGAGGGGCUAUUGUUGAUUCUUGUUUUUGCCCAAGGGGCGGUUCUUGAUUCAUGUUAUGCCCGAGGGGCUAAUUGCGAAUGAUUGUGAGGUAGCCCGAGGGGCUGGUUCUGUUGAUAUUAUGCCCGAUGGGCGAUUUAUGUUACAUAUUUUUGCCGGAAGGGCUAUUUACGUUUCUAUCAUUUUUACUCACUAUUUUAUCACUCGUUUUAAACUAUUGAAAGAUGUUUUCUUUUUAAUAAGAAAAGGUUUUACUGAAACUGAGCUUGAUUUACGAGGAAAUUGAUUUUGUAUUGUUUUGGAGACAUACUGUACUCACUGUGGCAUUAUGAUGUGGAUUAUGUAUUUUCUUACUGCUCAGUAUUUAUUUACUUUUAUUACUUACUGAAUUGGCGUACUUAUAUUACUCCCUGCACCUUGUGUGCAGAUUCAGUUAUUUCUGAACCCGGUAGCGGGUGUUGAUUUCUCAGUGGUAGAUUCAUCGAAGUUAGCAAGGUAGCUGCCUGACGUUCGCAGCCCUGCUCUUCUCCCUCUUAUCUUCCUUAGAUUGUUUUUAGUAUAAUUUCAGACUCUUUAUUGUAUUCAGACCUUAGUAGAUGCUCAUGACUUGUGACACCCCGAUGUCGGGCUAAUGUAUUUAUUCCGCACUAGUUAUUUAGACUUAUGUUUUGAGAUUUCUUAUUAAUUAAUGGCUUAAAAAUGACUUUUAUAGAAUAAUGGUUUGAUUUAGGAAUUAUGUUGGCUGGCCUAGUUUCACGAUAAGCGUCAUCACGAUAGGGUCGGUUUUGGUAUCGUGAUAGUAAAAAUGUUAGUAUAUUAUUGAGAAUCAAAAUAUUAUACAAGUAUAUGAGGAAGCACAAUCAAAGCUAAAUCCUAAACAAGAACAAGCUUUCAAGACUAUACUAUAAAGAGUCAACACUAUUAUAACAGGAUUAUUCUUUGUAGAUGCCUCCGACAGAAUCAAAAUAAUAUUUCUAUGUCAUGUAUUAUUCGUAAAUAUCAUAUCAAGAGACAUGACACUAUUAGCAAUAAUAGCAAGUGAUAUACUAACAACGAUUUUAUUGCGAGGCCACCCACUUUAGAUUUUAUAAACCUUUUCAAACAACUUAAAUAACCAUCACAAAUAUAUCAAAGAAGAGCAAUGGUGCUAAAUUUAUAAGGAAAACAAAAUUGAUAAUAUGGAAUGAAGCACUUAUGGCUAAGUGUCAAACGAUCGAAAUAAUUGCCCGUAGUUCUAGAUAUAUAUAUUUGAUAUUAAUGAACCGUUUGAUGGAAAAUUAAUGGUUUGGGAUGUGAUUUAUGUCAAGAACUACCUGUAGUUCCAAAAUCUAUAAAAGCAGAGACUGUAAAAGCUAGCUUGCUAAAGUUAUACUUCUGGCCUCAAAUGAAAAAGAUUCAACUGACAAGAAAUAUAAAGUAAGAAGAGAUCCAGUAUUCAGUGUUUUCUUGCUUCAUGUCAGAAACAAAGAAGAGCAUCUAUUAAAAGAUGAUUUGGCUCUUCCUGAACACUUGGUUAUCAAUACCAAUGGUAAUAGUUGUGCAUUUAAUAAGAGAAAUAUUUCUACCAUUAGAUUAAAGCGUAAUUUGUGCAAAUCGCAUGAUAGAAUUAAAAAGAUAACUUAACUAGCAGAAAUGAAUAUGUUGAUCAACUAAAUAAAAGGUUGAUUGCAGAAUUUUAUAGUAAAAACAAAAUAUUAUUCUGUUUUUGACUCAGCAGAAAAUGAUACCAAUAAUUACUACAAAAAAAAAAUACUUAAAUACUUUAAUACCAAAUGACCUUCUACCAUACAUGUUUGUUGUCAAGUUUAUUAUUUCUUACGUAUGUUAGUGUCAUCGUUUAUAUAAUAGACUCAGUUAAAAUUGAUCUUCUAUUGCAUAUAAGUUGAUUUUGAAUAAAAAUAUGCCCGUCAUACUAUUUUUAAACUUAGAUACUCUGAAUAGUUUAAUAGCACACAAAUGGUAUAUAGAAGUUUUGACAAUAACGUCAUACAUGCAAAAAUUAUGAUACUGGUCAAUGUGCUUCUAGAUAUAUUCUUAUCCUUAAAUUCAACUUCAUUUCCGAAACUAAGGAAUAUCCUUUUGAAUUUGUAUGAAAAUAAUUUUUAGUACGUUUAUGUUUUGCAAAUAUAAUAAAUAAUGCACAAGGAAGAACAUCCUAAAUAUUGGACUAUAUUUACCGCAAUAUAUUUUCUUGCACGAACAACUGUAUGUUGCACUUUAAAAAAGAUAUCAAGUCAACAACAAGAGUUCUGGUUAAGGCAGAGCAACCAAAACAUUAGGAGGAAACAUACACAAAAAAAUAUUGUCCACAAAGAAGUGUUCGUUAAGAUACCAUCACAUUAAAUACUUUUAAACUAUAAUAAAUAAUUAUCCAACAACAUGACAAAAUCGAUCAUUUGUGUAAGUUUUGAUGAUGUCUUUUUAUUUUUAAUUCAUGUAUUAUGUUAACGUAAUAAUAUUUUUCGGCAUUUAGACGAUUGUUGUAUUAUUAUACAUAAAAUUUCUCUCAUUAAUUACAUUUUAUUGUUCCUUCAUAUAAAUAAAUGUUUAAAUCAUCACGUACCAUUAUUAACGUGCAACACAUGUUUAUAGAUGCUAGUAUAUAAUAUAUUGACACAUUUAAAUAUAUUUGAUUUUUUCCGUUUAUUUUUAUAAAGUGGAAAAUGGAGUGUAUAUAAAGAAGAUAAAUUCUCUUAUCCUUUUCUUGUCUAAAAUGACAAAUUAUGACGACAUGGAGAGAGACUUGGGGCAACAACCCUGCUACUUGUACUCAUAAAUAUUGAACCAGGAGAGGAAACAGAAACGAAUAAAUUUAUGAAAACCUUUUUCUCCUGAAACAAAACUCUAGCUCUUGAAUCCAAUAUCAAUGAUCUCAAUUAGCUAGCAUAUGAGUAUGUGGCAAGAAUGAAGAAAUUGGAAGAUAUCAAUCGUUCUUCUUCUUCAACGACCAAGUAUUCAAGAAUGGCUUACAACAAUGAAAACAGGAGCAUCAGGUAAAAUUAAAAUUUUCUCAAGUAUUCUAGGCAUGUGGCUCUUCGUAAUUUCUAUUCAUGUUCCACAUAAAUAUGACAUACUAUAAUAGUAGUCUUUUCAUUUGCUUCCCCCAAAUGUUCUCGCACGAAACGAAUCCGAAUAUAGAUAGUUCAAGUAUAUGAAUUUUAUUUAAGAUGAGUACUGUAAUGAUAUAUGGCUUUUAAUGUAUUAAAAGAGAACUACUACUAUUUCUUUUUUUUUUUUUUGGUUUCACAUUCGAAAGUGCUUCUUAUAAGAAUUUAUAUUCAACACUCGAAUUCGAAAUAUCUGAUUAAACAUAAAAAGAUUUCUAUCAAUCAUACCAUAAUGCUUGAUGAUAUAUUAAUCAGUAUUAAUUAGAAGCAUAUUCACAUUUUUAUACAAAACAUUAUAAAAGUAUUGUUUAAAGGUUAAAAAUUCUUUUAACUUUACCUGAGCAUUUUGAUUUAUUAACUUUUUACUAUGAGUCUUCCCAGUUUUACCAUAAUAGUAAUAUUUGAUAUAACAGAUUAGGAACUAAAAUCUUUUGGAAAGACAUUUAUCUGUCUUUGAUGGGCGGAAAGAAAACUCUUACUGUGUAAUGUAUCUUUUAUUUCGAACCAACAUUUGAAAAUAUAAGGAUUCUUUUAGUUUAAAUCACUAUCACAAAAUCGUUAUCUCAUAUCAAUUCUGCACCUUGCACAAUUACAAUAUAAUAGGUCAAACAAUUUGAUAUCUAACCAAACACGAAAAAUAAUCUAGAUAUAAUUUUGCAAAGAAAACAUUUUGUUAUGAUACACUUUUAUCGGAUUCCUUUUUUCCUUUUGAAAUCUACUUGAUCACCCAUUUGCAAAGAAGUUAGAAGAGGCUAAAAUAGUUGUUGCAUUCAAUGCAUGAUUAUUUCGUCUUAGUUAUAUUUCGUUUAUAAAAUUUACCCCUUUUUUAUUCAACAAAAAUAUACUUACACACACUAUUAAAUUAAUUAAUGAAUACAAAAUAUAUACUGUAUGUAAGUUCUCAUAAUUCAAUCAUAAAAGAUUAAAAGUAAUAAGUACUCACACUUUAAUUUAAAAUAUUAUAGUUAAAUAAAUUGAUUUUGAUUUAAAGGAUGAAUGAAUCUGUGACACUUGUCACGUUACAAGCGAGUUCGAAAGAAAAAGUUAACUCCUAUUAGUGAACAAGCUAGUAGUCGUACCCGUGUAAUGCACAGUCAAUAUUAAAAAAAACUAUUAGUUAAAUUUAAUUGUAACCGGGCUUGUUUGAACAUUAUAGAUCGUAUUACUUUAAUAAGUUUCAAUUGUCAUCUUAUUUGUCAAUACGAUAUUCUCAAUAAUAAAAUCUCUAUUAAAUUAAAGGGACUUAUAUAGUUAUCGAAUAACUUUUUUGUUUAUAUUUUUUUUAUAUUAUAUUAUCCAAUGUUUAGUAUUAUUACAUUGUUAAUCGAAAUUUUUAUUAGCAUAUUAUUUUGUUUAAUAUUUUGUCGUAUUUUUUUUUAUGUAUAUAGGCUAUCAUUUUAGGAAGAAACUACUUCCAAAUUUAAAUUGAAUCUUUUUAUUUUUUUAGUUUAAAAUAUUUAAAAACUCUAACUUGAAACAACUCUCCAAUUUGAAUUGGCAAUCUUUUUUUUUUUUUAUUUUAUAGAUAUUUAAAUUCAAAAACGAUAACUAAUAAAUAAUUUCUAACUAAAUAACUAAUUAUGUCAUGUGGCUUUUUUCUAUACUGCCUUCGAAUUUUAUAGAUAUUUAAAUUAAAAAUAAUAACCAAUAAAUAAUUCUAAUUAAAUAAUUAAUUAUUAACUAAUUAUGCCAUGUAACUUUUUUUGUCUGCCACUUGACUCAAUGUGAGUUUUUUUUUGGUUUUUAAUAAUACACAGAAGAUAGAAGAUAGGUGAGUCAUGUGGAAGAAGAAGAAGACACGUCGCAUAGAAAAGGUCCAAAAUAGAGAAAGUGACAUAAGAAAAAGUUAGAAAAAGCCAUUGGAUUUAGAGAGAAAGAAGGACGUGCACAAACUGUGUGCCAUUUUCCCGUGCAAAACGUACGUAUUCAAUUGAAGUGAGCGGUUUUCUCGUCCACUGUUACCUCAAAACACUAUUCUGACGGUGUGUAGUAAUCAACUUUCCCCACUCUCUUCUUCACUCUCUCUACUCUAAUAUAUAUAUAUCCGCAAUCACAUAGGAGAAUAAUAUAGUCAGUUCAUUAAAAUUACUACUCUUGAACAAAAGAAUAAGUUACUGUAGCAGACAGAUAAAAAGAUACCAACAACAAUGUCAAGCAAUGCUGCUGGUCAGGUCAUUCGUUGCAAAGGUACUUCCUUUGAUCUCAGUUUUUUUUCCCUUGUCCAAUUAGGGGAGGAUUUUUUGAUCAGGUCAUUUUGUUGCAAAUUAAUGAGGUUUUCUGUUAGUAUCUUUUGACAAACAAAUUGAUCUGGUUUUGCCUCUUUUUUCUGAUUUCUUUUCGGAACUUUUUUUUUGGGCCUAAUUAUGGGUAGUAUUUAUUUUUAUUUUUGUAUAAUGAUUUCUGAUGUAUCACGGAUUCUGAUUAGAUGUGUAAUUUAGACGAAGUUGUUAAAGUUUGCUUAGUUAUUUGUUAGUACCAUUCCACACUCUUUUGUACAUUCUUAUAAAUGAGUUGUUUAGUAUUAGUAUAGUAAAGUCUUUCGGUUGUCACUAGUCACUGAAUAUAGAUUGUUUUUGUUCAUGAAAAAUAAAUGUAUUUUCUUGAGUAAUCUAAGUGCUUUUGAGCUAGGAAGCCAAACUGUGUCAUUCUUUUCAGAACAGAGGUAUUUGAUAAAGUAGUUUUGUCAUGCGUGUUCAUGGAUAACUCAGAGCUGUUGUAUUUGCAUGGUCUGUUUGGAUCAUUUGUUCUCCUGUGUGUGAUUAUGAGUGUGUUUUGACAAGUGGUUUCCUUUUCUGAAUCAAAUGUUAAUUGUAAAAAGUUUCCGUUUAAUUUCCUUUUCGGCAUCCAUAGUUGAGCAAAUCUUGAUAAAAUUAAGUUCUUUUUUAUGUACGUUUGAUUGAUUUGUCCGCGGACGAGUGAUAAUUGUGUUGUCAAUGUGAAUGUAUAAUGCAGCUGCGGUUGCAUGGGAAGCGGGGAAGCCAUUGGUGAUUGAAGAAGUGGAGGUGGCACCACCACAGGAAGGUGAAGUUCGCCUCAAGAUUCUUUUCACCUCCUUGUGCCAUACUGAUGUUUACUUCUGGGAAGCUAAGGUACUUUCUUAAAGCUUCUACUUUUGCUUGCCGCUAUACAUUUUAUGACUUCAUUGUUUGGUGAUGGCAUAAUCUCAACUAAUUUGUGUUUUACAUGGUAAUAUGUGUAUUUGCGCUGGGAAAUGGUAAUCAAAGCUAUUCCAGCUCCUGCACACCGCACUUAGUCAUUGAAUUAAGAGGUAUUUCAGUUGGGCUGGCUACGAGUCGUUUCUCCUAGCUUUCCAAUGAUUUUUGCACGGGCCUAUAAGAACAUGUCACCAAAUUAUUGGUAGUCGAUAACCAAUUCCCCAUUGUUAUUACGGGGACCUUUUCACAGUGCCAGUGCUAGUAUUUGAAUUGUGGAAUACUGCAAUUGGUCCUUUUCACAGUGGCAUUGUUAGUUUGUGAAUUGUAAGGAUUUGUGGAAUGCUGCAGUCAUAAGUGUACUUUUGCAUUUGAUUUUUAAUAUAGUGUUAGAAGAAAAUCAUGCGACGAUCUGGUUUCUAUAGGGUGAGAGCCUAACCACCACGAUAAUUUACAUAACUGUGUAAACUUUGGAUUCUCAAUUUUAAUUUUCUUUAUUGACCAUGGUUAUUGGGUGCUAGAAGCGCAAAUGAAUCUAUUCAAUAUAUGGAAAAGUGUGGUUGAAUGAUUACAUUAACCAGACACCCUAUUGGAAUGUACAAUGCUAUACUUAUGGUUAACCAUGUGAUACCAAAAGAAUUGUUUUAAUGAGGUUUUCUUCAAACCUUUAGUUGUCUUCUCUGUUUUAAAUUGUUUCAUGUGUGCUUUUAAUUCUCUAUGCUGCUAAUACUCGUUUUUGCAAUGAUGGUCAUUCCUGUAAUGGAAUUUUAUAGUGUUCCUUUUUGAAAUGUUUCACCUUAUCCCUUUUGUCCAUCUAAUUGGUGUACUUAAUGAUUUGAAAUCUCCUCUUUUGUUGCAGGGGCAAACACCACUAUUUCCUCGUAUUUUCGGACAUGAAGCUGGAGGGUAUGACAUUUUAUAUUAGUCAAAUUUUCUUAAAUUAUUUUCAAACUUAAUCAGUAUAUUCUAAAAUACAUUUCCAUUUGUGUGGCUAUAGAAUUGUGGAGAGUGUAGGUGAAGGUGUUACAGAUCUCCAACCAGGAGACCAUGUUCUUCCUGUGUUCACUGGUGAAUGCCAGCAGUGUCGACACUGUAAAUCAGAGGAAAGCAACAUGUGUGACCUCCUUAGAAUAAACACAGACAGGGGAGUUAUGAUCCAUGAUGGUCAGACAAGAUUCUCCAAAGAUGGCAAGCCAAUAUAUCACUUUGUUGGAACUUCCACCUUUAGUGAAUACACCGUUGUCCAUUCUGGAUGCGUCGCCAAGAUUGAUCCACAGGCACCACUUGACAAAGUUUGUGUUCUGAGUUGUGGGAUAUCAACAGGUUGGAUUUGAACUGUAGCCAAUUACUCAUUUGUUAAAUGAAAGAGUAGUUAUAAUUGGAUAUCUGAUGGAGUUCAUCUACUCUGAAGGACUUGGUGCAACUCUGAAUGUUGCCAAACCUACCAAAGGUUCUACUGUAGCUAUUUUUGGCUUGGGAGCUGUUGGCCUUGCUGUGAGUACAUAUUCCACCUAUUUUUCUUAUGUAGUUUUCGUUGUCAUGGCCGUGUGAAAUUUGAGAAUGUUUUCUUGUCAUUUUGACAAAAUUAUUAGGCUGCUGAAGGAGCUAGGAUUGCUGGGGCUUCUAGGAUCAUUGGCAUUGAUUUGAAUCCCAGCAGGUUCAAUGAUGGUGAGUGCAUUGGUUUUCUAUGAACAAGAAUGUCCAUAGUUAUUUCUCAUUAAAUUUUGGCACUGAUUCUAUGCUUUCCUUUAAAAUUUUCACAGCCAAGAAGUUUGGUGUGACAGAGUUUGUGAAUCCAAAAGAUUAUGAUAAGCCUGUCCAGCAGGUUUGUCCUUCACAUCUUCACUACUACACAUAGCAUAUCUUUGGGAGUCUGUUAACUCCUUACAACAUUACUUUUAUUAAUGGAGGGAUGAUUUUCAGGUCAUUGCUGAGAUGACAGAUGGAGGUGUUGACCGAAGUGUCGAGUGUACUGGAAAUGUCAACGCCAUGAUCUCUGCUUUUGAAUGUGUUCAUGAUGUAAACUUAAUAUCUGAAAAUCUUCUUGAUCUCUUACGUUCUAACACGGUAGAGACAAAUGUAAGUUCAACUUAAUGUUACUUGAUUACAGGGUUGGGGUGUGGCGGUGCUUGUUGGCGUGCCAAACAAAGACGAUGCGUUCAAAACUCAUCCAAUGAAUCUGUUGAAUGAGAGGACUCUCAAGGGCACCUUCUUUGGCAACUACAAGCCCAAAACUGACCUUCCAUCUGUGGUGGGCAAGUACAUGAAUAAGGUGGUUCUACACCAUAACAAUGUAACCUAUACACAGACAUUUUAAAGAAUGUUUACAAUAUCAAUGAAGUUUUACUCGUGUCUUUUUGGCCGUGAGGGCAUAGAAGUUAAACUUUAUUUCUAGAUUUAUCAGUCUAUGUUUUUAGCUAAUUGGUGAGCUGGAAAAAAUUUCAGGAGCUAGAGCUGGAGAAAUUCAUUACCCACCAAGUUCCAUUUUCAGAGAUCAACAAAGCAUUUGAGUAUAUGCUGAAAGGGGAAGGUCUACGUUGCAUGAUCACCAUGGGACAUUGAAAUGUUAACUAGGAAGUAAAGACCUAGUAUUUAUAGUCUCAUACUAAUAAAACAAUAUUUUAUUAGAGUAAUGAUGUAAGUAGUGUUUGAAGCCAAAACAUAUCUGUUGUCAAAGGCUUUAGUUUAAUUUCCAUAUUAUGUAAUAAUUUUACUCUUAUGUUUUGAACGGCUUAAGUAUGAUUUCCAUGUUAUAUUAUGCUAUUCCGCUGUUACCUUGCUUGUCUUGCAGAUUCAGUUUUAAGGGGAAAAAGAAAACUCUGUUCUUUAGUUUUUAAAUCACCAAAAAGGAGGUAACUAAAUAUAAUUAGGGAUUUGAGGGCGAGCUCCUAGACGGAGCUAGAAUUGAAUUUGAAGAUUGCAGGUUCAUUAUUCUAAGCAUUUUAAGUUACUGGGUUCUAAAUUGUUAAUUUAUAACUAAUAAAUGAACUUUUCAAGGCAAAUAUAUGAAUUGAAUCAAUUUGGGUCCCAACGUGGUCGAAUAGACGUGGGUCACACCCAUUGUACAUUAGGUGAGCAGGCAUUGUAAUCCUCUUUUUCAUCAUCAUUUGGGUCCAAUUCCAGCAAUUUCUCGACAAUCUUAACGUAGGCGUUUUCGUCCGCUGCUAUUGCUCCGCAUAUGCUUGCUAAUAUUAGGUCUCCACCCUCUUUGGCUUGCCUAGCAGUAUUGCCGUGCGACACAAAUGUUGCUCUAUUUAUACACAAAGCCUAAGUAGGGAUUAUUCUCUGUUCCUGGAUCCUAAAGUCAAUGAUAUAUAUAUAGACUAUGUUAACUUCUUUUGAUGAAGGAUUUAAGCUACGUACGUACCCAUACAAUUGUAAUGAUUUUUUUAUGCACGAUCAAUAGUAUAACUUAAUUUAACAUGUUAAUUAAUUAUAGUUUUUAUCAAGUUACAAAAUAAUACUUAUCAUAGAUUUGUGUACGAUAACAGCUUUUAUGUUAAAUUUUACUUUUCUAUAACAUUUUUUACCUACAACAAUUACAUCAUCUUUAUGACAGUACACUCUUUAUAUAAUUAUCUCUCUAUGACAGCCAUGUAGAGUUUUUAACAUUACUAAUAAUAAGUCUAGAGAUUAAGACCAAAUAUUUUGAAACUGUAAUGCACCACUUUUGAAGUUUAUGAUAAUCAUAAUAUUUGUAUGGCAAUGAAAUUCUGAAACUUAUAGUGUUAUAUUAAUUAUUUUAUAAUAUUUGUGUAAAUAUAAAAGCUUUUCACUUGGAGUAAACUAAAAAAUUUAACUUUACAAAGCCGAUGAAAUGACAAAAUUGCCACGUGAACUGGAGCGCAAGUACUAAUGAUAAUCAAACAAUCGGUAUCGAAGGCAAAAUUUAUUAUUGACAUCAGUUUGAGUAAUAUGUCAAACCAAAUUAGGACACUUACACAUUCAUUCCAUUACCAUUUUCAAGUUCCAUAUCUAGGCAUAUAUAGCUGCCCGUGUGGCUAAUGUUGUACAUUUUUCACAAAUGAACUCUUUUAUACACUCACUUCCAGAGGCGGAUGUAGUGUAUUAACUACGGGUUCAACUGAAUCCAUAACUUUCGACGCGGAGUAAAAAUUUAUAUGUAAAAAUUCAUUAAAAUUGCAAAAAUAAUAGAUAUGAACCCAUAACUUUAAUUUAAAAAUAUAAUGGGUUCAAUGUUAAAAACAUUAAAACUGAACUCAUAGAAUUUAAAUCCUGGAUCCGCCUCCGCUCACUUCCUUGUUGAAAAUCCAGCUAAACUUCACUUGACGCAGCUCCAAUUUCUUAGCUCUCUCAUCGGCUCUCUCUUGCAACCUUUUUAUCUUAGGUGGUAAUCCACACACAAAGUCUUGCGUUUCGCCUCAUCCUUAAUUCCUUCAAGCUUUUCCAAUGCCCAUCGAUCGAUCAAAAACUGCAAUAUAUCUGCAUAAUCAUGACUUGUAUACACUCCUAACCUUUGAGCCACAGCAGCAAAGUGCUCGAAUAGAUCUGUAUCACACCCAUCGUACAUUAGGUGGGCAGGCAUCGUAAUCCUCUUUUUCAUCAUUUUAGCAAUAGCUAGCAUGGAGUCAUUUGGGUCCAAUUCCAGCAAUUUCUCAACCAUCUUGACGUAGGCGUUUUCGUGCCGCUUUUCGUCCGCUGCUAUUGUUCCACAUAUGCGUGCUAAUAUUGGGUCGGCACCCUUGGCUAGACGAGCAGUAUUGCCAUGUGACACGAAUGUUGCUCUUUCUUGGAAUGAUGUGUACACAAACCCUAAGUAGGGGUUGUUCUCUGUUCCUACUGUUGCGGAAGCCAAAUGUAUAGAGUGUGAAUAAGUCACAACUACUAUACCAAAAAUUAUGACAGCCACCAAAUAAUAAAUAAGACAAUAAAGCAAUAAUAAAGGGAACACCAGAAUUUACGAGGUUCGGCUAAUUUUGCCUACUCCUCGGACACAACCAAUAUUUUAUUCCACUCCAAAAAUACAAGUGAAAUAAUACUAAAGAGAGAAGAUACAAAUGCCUUAAACAGAUGAGAAGGCAAAUGAGAGGUGUGUUUCAAUCCUAAACAUUAGGCCUUCUUUUAUAGGGGAAAAAUCCCCCCCAAACUUAACUCCCAACCAAUGUGGGACUUUGGCAUUUUGCCAAACUUCAACAAAUCUCCACCUUGGCAAAAUUCCACAUUUUCAAUUCUCUCUCAAUAACAAAUUUUGGUUGUGUCUUCAUCUUCAAUCUUCAGUGUUCAACAAUGUUGAUCAAAUCCAAAC
Molecule: long non-coding RNA, 65764 nt
Filed under: Nicotiana tabacum (common tobacco)
Lineage: Eukaryota; Viridiplantae; Streptophyta; Magnoliopsida; Solanales; Solanaceae
Description: long non-coding RNA (NTAB_LNC014355)
Source: RNAcentral